GAAAAGGUACAUGACAUGCUGCAACCACAUACAAACAUAAAGAAGCUUGAAAUCACACGAUAUAGUGGCAGAAAAUUUCCAAUAUGGUUAGGGGACCCAUCAUUCUCUAACAUGGUUGCUUUAAAAUUGAUAGGAUGUGAAAAUUGCACAUCCUUACCUGCGGUGGGGAUGUUGGUUUCCCUGAAAGAGCUUACAAUUCAACGAAUGCUUGUACUCAGAAGUAUAGGGUCUGAAAUUUGUGGAAACGAUUGCUCAACGCCUUUUCAAUCCUUAGAGACUCUUUUUUUCAGUGAUUUACCGGAAUGGGAGUUCUGGGAUACCGGCAACCAGACUGGGUAUGUUGAAAUAUUCCCUCGCCUCGUUGAACUGUCCAUUUUUGGAUGCCCCAAACUAUCUGGAAAAUUACCUGACCAUCUUCCUGCAUUAGAGACCCUUGUUGUCAGCAAUUGCGAAGAGUUGGUGGUUUCAUUCUCAAGCUUUCCUUUUGCUCUGCAAGUUGGAAAUUUAUAGAUGCAAAGGACUGGUUUGCAGCUCUCCGAUUGACUCUAAGUUGACAAAGUGUAUGGCUAUUUCAAGCUGUUCAUUAGACAUAUACGGAUGCAAAGGGAUGGUAUACAAUAGUCCACUUCUCUUUAAAUCACUGUCGACGCCUGUGACUAUUUCAAAUAUUUUAGAGUUUGGAAAAUUGUUAAAAGGAUUUCUGCCAGCAGAGUUUCUGGGGAUUAGCGAUUCUCAAGAUAUUCAGUUAUUGAGGCCGCAGUUUAAGGAUAUGCAAUUUAGGGAGGAGGCAGUACAAGGGCUAUGGAUUAUCGUGCCCCCUGAAGAGGUAUCAACUGAAGAAAAUUGCAUGAGUCUGGUUUCAUUUCCAGAGGUAAAAUUUUUCCCGAUCAAUCAGCUUGAUCUUGAAAUUGAAAAUAGUGGAGCUUUAAAAUCCUCACUUGAAGGAAUUAUGUACAACUGUGCACAACUGAAAAGUUCGAACAUUAAAGGUUGUGAUUCUCUAGAAUUCAUUGCAAGAGGCAAGCUGCCUUCGUCUUUAGAAUGGCUUCAAAUACUUGAUUGUAAGAAAUUGCGGUGUUUGAUAGUUGAUGAAGAGGAUGCUUCUGUUGCUUCUUCCUCAUUAUCUUCUUUAUCAUUGGCUCUCAAGUGGCUUUAUAUUAGCGGCUGCUCAGAGCUCACCCAUUUACCAUCAAGAACUACGUCAUUGCCGAAAGAGCUUGAAUUUCUAAACAUUAGGGAUUGUCCAAAAUUUGAGUCCAUAGCUGAGAGCUUUCAUGGUAACGGACGUCUUAAACGGAUAGUCAUCUCCGAUUGUGGAAAUCUAAAAUCCAUGCCGAAGGGCCUACAGAAUCUUAGUUGUCUUGAGUCAGUCAAAAUCGUGAGCUGUCCAAGUCUUGUUUCUUUUCCAGAAGGAGGGCUUCCCAGCACUGUUACGAUUGUUUUUAUUGACGGUUGUGAAAAGCUUAAAGCCCUACCUGAAGACAUGCACAGGUUCAGCUACCUUCAAAUUUUAAGAAUCAGGGAAUGUCCAAGUAUUGUAUCAUUUCCUGAAGCAGGUUUUCCUACCAACCUAACAUCACCUGUAAUUACUGAUAUAAAAAUGUACAAGGCAAUUAUCCAAUGGAGCUUGCACAGGCUUACAUCUCUUCUACGCCUUUACAUAAAUGAGGGUGAUAAUGCUGAGUCUUUUCCAGGUGAGAGGAUGGGAAUAAUAUUGCCCACCUCUAUAACUGCAUUGAGGAUUUCUGGAUUCCCAAAUCUGAAAUGCCUAUCUGCAAUGGGUUUUCAAAGCCUGGCCUCACUCGAAUCUCUGAGUAUAUCAAAUUGCCCGAAGCUCAAAUCCUUUCCUGAGGUGGGCCCGCCAUCCUCCCUUUUGGUACUACAAAUUCAAGAUUGUUCUUUGCUGAAAAAACAUUGCAAAAGGGAUAAAGGAAAAGACUGGUCCAAGAUUGCUCACAUCCCUUGUAUUAUGAUAGAUGGCAAAUUCAUCUUCGAUUAAGAAGAGAAAGAAUGAGCUCUGUUUAAUAUCAGAAGGAAGAAUUCAGGUAUGCCAAUUCCUAUUAUUACGAUUACUAAAAACACGUUGUUAAAUUAUAACACAAAUUUUUAUUUUCAAUUUCAAUAUCAAUCCUCUGCCUUCAACUGCAAAUGGCACUAGAAUAUUUUCAUUUUUACUUUUUCAGAUACUAUGAUGAGGCAGUUUGACUUGAUGAUGCUGACAGUUUUUUAUAGUAAUGGACAAAUGGUUGGUACGUUUUCUGUUGAUUAUUUACAGUGUAGUUCAGUUGACUUUAGUACUAUGUAUCUGAAAAUUUUCAGUGAUUUAAUACUUGUUUUCAUUUUAACUCAUCAGAUUUAAUGCGGUCCCAACAAGUUACUCACACACUGGUGCUUUUUUAAGGUAAUCAGUACAUUUUCAGCUGCGUUAACUCGAAUAACUUGUAUCUGAAAUAUUGCUGUCGUAAUUUCUUUUCAAUUUAUAGUUUAGAUCAUAGUCUGGCAUGUAGUUUCAAUGGCGAAUAUUUUUUUUUUUUACAUGUUAUUAUUUUUUCAGAGCAACUCAAUUAGACAGUUCCAAUCCAGAAAUUUUUUAAUGUAUUUUAGUGCAAUCGUAGUUGUCAAGUGAAAUUUUCAUAUUAUGAUGAUCUCGAUGCUAACUACAUUUCCAACUCUUUUAAGUUUUUUGAACUCUAGCGGGUGAAAGUCAAUGGAAAGAAGUUUCUGAACUUUUCCAAUGAUCAAUGCAAUUUGCUUCUAAGGAUAUAACACGGGUCUUCACUUAUUUCAAGUUGCAGAUAUGAUUCUAUCUUUCUUCUGCUGUAAUUUCAGAGGGCAAGGUUGCUCAUAUUCCUUGAGUUGACGUGGAAGAAAGCAUAAGGAAAGCUCUGAGACAAUCCACAUCAAAAUCUUCACCCACUUUUUCACAGUUUGGAAUCGACUACACUGCCUUCAAAAUGACUUUCAAAUGAAAGGGCAGAAAGUUAAUCAUACAGGGUUCCAAAGUCGGUUAAAAGUUAGUUUUAAAGCUUCUGAUUUUUUUCUGAAUAGGCUGACUAGUUAAUAAGCCAAUAAAAUGUGCCAAGAAAUAUCCCUCUGUGGUGGAUCAUCACUUUGCUUGAUUCUUGCUUUGAUUUAGUCUCAGUAAUCUUGUAAUUGCCAUUAUUAAGCUAGUGAAUAUAGAACAAUGGCUGCUUUUGCACCCAUGGAUGUAGGUCAAUUUGACCGAACCAUGUAAAUCUGUGUCUUUGCUCUUUGUGCCUCUCAUUUAAUUUGUGUUUGCUGAGAUUGAUUGCUUUUGUGCAGUUUAAUUCUUGGUAAAAGCUCAGCUUAAUAAUCUCUAUAGAUUGGAUCGAUCUCAAUUCAUUGGGAUUGAGUUUUAGUCAUUUCUGGGGCGAGAGAAAUUGACUCGCACAUGUAUCAUGGCAACGUUUGUUUUAUUUGGAUAUUAUUUGUUUUUAUACAGGCUUUUAGUUUAUUUCAGGUUGUCUGAGUAAAAUUUUAUCACACAUGCGAUUACUUGGAAAAUUCUAACGCCAGUGUAUGUUAAAAAUGAAAUUGGGUCAUGUAGGUACCCUCUGUCAAGAUCAAGUGCUAGCUGGACAACCACUUUGAAAACUAGUCUCCUUCUCCUGCUGUAAGUUUCAUUUCCUUUUAGAUUUUACCGCAUGAGUUCAGCUUAAUUUCUUCAAAUCACUCCGAUUUAAGACCAAAUAGACUCUGGAAUAAUGGCUUAAGUAAUAUAUAAUAGAGAUGAUUAGGGGAUGGGCAAGGAUACUUGGUAAUAUGAAGGGACAAUUUGGAUGUGUUCGCAAAAAUGAAAACACAGUAUCCCCUGUAAUAUUGGAUGCGAUUGAUGACUGAAUGGUCAAUCUAACCUUUUUUUCCAUAACAUUUUAAAGCACCCAACUACUUUCAGAUCCAUCUGCCAUCUAUAUUGAGUAUAUUCUAAUUAUAAAUCUAUCGUUGUUUGUCCUUAGAAAGCAAAAUACAUACAAAACUGUAUUUAAUACUCUAUUUCAAAAGCCACCACCAAAAAAAAAAAAAAUUAAAUAAAUAAAUAAAUAAAUAAAAUCAAAAUGUAUUUAUUAAAUUAAAUAAUUUGCAAAAACUACGAAUCUCAAAAGUCUGUCUACUUAUAGACUAAAGUUAUUUAUUAAUCAUGGUUAAUAUGAGAUGUGUGUAACACAAAACAAUUUUUAGCUUUACCGUUAAGCCAUAAUAUCGUUUUUUUUUUUAUAAGCAUUAAUUAAUCUAAUUUCUCCUUAACUAAUGAUUGUAUUAUGCGUAUGGUGUUACUCUCAUCAUCAUUUAACUUUUCAACCAGGUGGUUGUGGUUGGAGAUUAAUUAAUGCUUCAACAUAUUACAAUUCAGAGAGAAUGACAAUUCCAUCCCUCUUUAUUUUUAUUUUUAUUUUUAUUUUUUGGGGCAUCACUUAGGUUUCUUGUAGACUUUUAGUACCUCAUUUUAUCAUUGACUAAAAAAUGUUAAGUAAAAAAGUACGCGGUUGGAGGUAAAAAAUACAGUUGGUUUAUUGAUAUACAAACUAAUAUUACAUAAAAUCUGACAUAAAAACAUAUUAAAACUAGACCAAUUAAUGAGGUCAUUUUAUGCCGACGCGUACGUGACGCAAUCGUGCAAAUACGAAAAAAAUGUACUGAAUAUUGAUGAGCCAUGGUCCAAAACAAUAACUGGACCAGUUGAUGAGGCUGGCUUAUUAUCUACAAACAAGGUAGUCAAUCUAGGCUUCAGCAGUUAGUAUCCCAAUCCAAAUCAAGUGCGCAGCCCUAAAACAAAGAGUGGACUUUCUAACACCCCGUGAAAAUUCUUACGAAACCCUCUUUUUUUUAAUUAUUAUUAUUUUUUAUAUAUUAAAUCAUUUGGUAUUUAAAAAUUGCAUUAGGUCUCGACUGAUCCAAAUUCGAGCCAGAUAUGACUACUAAGUCAGUAAAACUCUUCCAAUAAAUAUUUAAUACAGCUGCAUCCUAAGUUUCGAACCGAGAACCUUUAUUAAGUUAAAAUAGUCCUUCCCAAUUGAUUUACGCGCUUGUUGAUUUUUUUCAAUUAUUAUUAUUCUUAUUUUAAUACCAAAAAUAUCCUUUUCCUGCUAAAUUCCUAUUACAUUUUUUUUUAGUUUAUUCCAAUUUAACUAUUUUAAAUGAGACCGAGACGAUGAGUUUGCAAAACUAUGUAAAGUUAGGUGGAGCUGCUUGAUGGUUCCUCCAAUCACGAUCAUGAUGGUAAAUGUUGAACUUGGAAAAACAUAAGCCGCUAAACUCAAUAAGUAUUUGCAAAAGAUAGUACAUCAGGUAGUUUUAAAGAAAUUUUUUUUUUCUUCAGUUUUCUCACCCGUAAAACAAAUCAAUGUCUUAUUUUUGGUCUUUUGGAUAGAUGAGUCACAAACAAAAACAAAAAGGAAAAGGGCAAAAAACAGGACUUCUUGAUUUUUCAAAUUUCGGGGAGCGAGAGAGAAGCGGUCGAAGAGUUCGCAGAGAAAAUAAAAAUAUCCUGCGUGUGUUAUAAUUAAAAAUAGCGGGCUGCUAAUAGCUGUACUGGAAGGCAAAAAUAUCGUCGCUCAAGCCCAUUCAAAUUCGGCCUAUGUCUAAAGAAUGAGAGAAGACUUUACUUCUCAAGCUGACUUGGGGGUACCGGGCCAGGCUGGUUUCGUUUGCUUUUUAUUUUCCCUCACUAAUACAAUUUACCAAUUCAAAAAUAUAUGCGCAAAGUUUUCACUGCGUGUUUUCAUUUGUCGAAAUUAUGGUUGUUGAUUUACUUCUAAAUAUGUAACGCAUUACGAGCGUAAACUAUCGAAAUCGUACCAUUAUUAUAAAUCUGUUCUAAUCUAUGAGGCUUUUAAUUGAAAAUAUAAUAGAUUAUAUUGUAAUUCAAAAUAAAAAUGUAUAAAUGUCAAAUAAUAAGUUAACAUACGAGUGCAGUCUCACACAAAUUUUGUCGGUGAACGCAUUGCCAACUUGGAAAAUCUACUCAACUAACACUUCCUUCUCUUUACUGUUGCAUUGACUUUAGAAAGUUAAUUUUAGGAGUCUUGUUACAAUGCACCAGCUGCACCAUCUAACAAGUUUUACAUUGUCCUUAACAAAGUAUUCAUUCAUAAUCGCUGAUUCGCUAUAUUAUUUUUAUACAUAACAUGUUUUUGUAAUACAUAUAGUAAAUUAUUUAUACAACGAAAAAGUUAUUAUCAAUUAAAAAAAAAAAUUGUGGAUGUACGGCGCAACAUGCUGCACCAUAAUCACACCCUAAAUUAUUAAAAUAAUAAAUAAAUUAAAAGAUAAAUAAAACGUACAUUUUAAAUAAUAUAUUUUAUUUUUAAUAUAUUAAAAUAUAUAUUUUAUAUACCUUUUAACUUAUUUCUUAUUUUAAUAAUUUAAAGAAUCUUUCAUUCAAAAUUUAUUCUCUACAUAUAUUAAGUUGGCCCAUUUUGAUGACAUAAUAUUUACAUGCAUGAACUUGAUCUUACAUGCAUGAACUUGAUCACUAACACAUAUAUUACAUGAGUCGCACCUGAUGAAAAUUCCGUAUGAAAUAUAUUCAAGUGAUCCAGAUCGAUAGAUAAAUUAAUUGUACCAUGUUACAGUUACAAUUGGAAAAUAAUAGAUGGUACAUCUUCCUUUUAUGUGGCAAAAUAAUAUAUAUAGUACAUUUUUCCUUUUACGUGGCCCUCAUGACGUCAAGGUAUAAAUCAUCAUAUCACAGUGAUUUAAUGUGGACAUCUAAUGGACCGCCAAUAUUCAACAUCUGAAAGUUAAAUCAAUUUUUGUCUUUUAACAAUUGUUUAUCAACAAUUUAUGGUCCUAAUUUUAACAUAAUGUGAACGUUCAAAGAAGACAAAAUACUUGAGAAUUUAGCAACCUAUUCUUCCACGUGAGGAGUCAAGUUCCCCCUCCAUUGCCUUUGCAUUUAUUUUUCAGUAAUAUCACUUUUUACGUUAUAUAUGAAAUUUUUAAAAGUAGAUUUAGUAUUCAGAUUGUGUAUAGGUAUCUAGAGUGCCAACGAACUAUAUAAGCUCGGGAUAAAGGAACUUUUUUUAUUCUAAGCUCUCUAGCUUUUAACGGUCUUAUUCUACAUUUUAAUCGUAUAAUAAUAUUGUAUAAUUGAGAUUUAACUGUUAUUAUUAUAUUUUAACUUACUAACCACGAAUUAUUUACGUAAAAGUUACUAAAAAAGAACUCAUAUUAGGAGGGAAUAUGGUCAGUAAGUAACCAAAGUAUGCCACAACAAAAAAUGAUUUAGAUAUGCUAACGGUAAAUCUUAACUAGUGCUUGUACUACUUAUACAUGUAGGUUUGUACUACCAAUGGUGAAGCCAGAAGCGUCCAGUUUGAGCAAGUAUUACCUUAUUAAGUUAAUUUUUCCCAAAAAUUCAAUCCAGAAAGUAUGAGAAAUGACAAGCACCAUGGUUCAAUUUUCCCCUCAAAAAGAAACAAGCAAGAAAAGAAAAAGCACACACGCUAUACUUUUGAUGGAAGUUAUGAAAUGCACUUUUAGUUCAACUUCCUCGGUGCUUUAAAGCUCUUUGGGAGCUGCUGUUGAAGUGUACUCGGCAAAGGUUAGCCUGGGUCCAUUUGUUCUCAUUUGCAGGUCAGAUCUAAAAUUGGGUCAGCAAGAUAAUUGCAUAAUUGAACCCAAUGCAACCACCAUAAUUGUUUUAGAAAGACUGAUAUGCGUUUGUAAUUGGUUUUGGUAUAUCACCUUUGUUUGUAUUUCACCAUCAAUGAGACAGCUUUUUUUUUUAAGUAUAGUGAAUGAACAGAGAAAUUUGUCGGCAAGCUUAUCCCAACUCCUUGAUUGCUAGUUUAAGUGUCUAUUCACAUCAACGAGCCAAGUUGAUUCAUCUCAUUACCGGUAUUUAAGGUCAAUUUUUUUAACUUAAAUCUAAUAUGUUAUUAUACAACUUAAACGAUAAUUCCAAGUUUUUUUAAACUUUUUACUUUUGUAUGAUCAAAUAAAAAUCAGUUAGGUUGCAGUAGCCGACACAAGAUAACUAAAAACCGAACAAAUUCCAUGAAAAGUUCAUAAAAAAGUCUUUAAAAAUAAUUGCUUUGUACUAUGAAAAUAAAAAAAGAAAAGUGCUUCCCGCACAUUUUGAUGUGCUAUGAAAUAUCACAUAUACUUAAUUUUUUGUCUCAACUAGGGUUGGUAAUUUAUCGGGUCAGGCCGAGCCUGAACCCGACCCUAUAACACAACUAAAGGGCCCUAACCCUACAAAAAAAAAUCUUAUUGUUUCACUUUCGGGUCGGGUCAGGGUCUGGCAUGACCCGUCGGACUCUAAAAAAGUCCGAACCCUACUAAUUUUUAAAUAACCAACUUUGAUAUCGUAAAUUUAGAUUUAUAUAAACAAAUGCAAAUGUACAACCUAUCUUAUUCUAACUAUUAAAAGUAAUGCUUUCCAUGAUUUUCAUAAGCAAUAAGAAAUUUGUAGUGUUUUGAUUGCCUCAAAAAAUCCCAACUAAUCAAACACUGCCCAAGAUCUUUGUCAAGAUAAAUUCAAGUUGCAUAUGAAUCAAAUGACCAACCUUGAUGACUCAAUGAUUAACAAGAACCUAGUAAACGAAUUUUAGAGACCAGAAACACAAGUAUCAAGCUAAAUUAGCAACCAAAACACACAGAAAAGAAUACUGAUUUUACGUGGUUCAAUUGUGCAAAGAAGCACAAUCUACCAGAAUGAGUUUUUACUGAUGAUUCAAGUUUAAUUUAUAAAGCUUUUACAGAAUAGAUGACAAGGAACGGGAUGUCUCUCUCUCUCUUUCUCGUAUAUCUCUCUAGAACGCUCUUAAUUCCUCACUGAAACUGCCUCAACAAUCAGCUUUGUAUAACAGCCGAUAACAAACCGGAUUGCACCAGUUUCUGCCACGUGGAUAACGGCCUGCAACAAUCUUGAUUCCCCCUCACAUGCUUAAUCACGUGCAUGACUUAAGUCUGAGCCAAAACGUCUUCAUGUCUUGCCGGUUAUUAGGUGAGUCACACGUCCAUCACGUGACAGCUUGAAACAAAUUGAUAGGCAAAACGAUGCCGUUUCACAUGUCCAAGUUUUAAAUUCAGCAAAUUAGUCCACAAAAUUAAAGUUAUUUAUUUUAUUUUUAUCCAAGGACAACUCUUUGCUCAAACCAAAAACUCUUGAUCUUGAACAUCUUUAUAAUCACAGAGAGCCCCCUGAAGCUUGGCUGCUCAUCAGCCUCGCUUGGAUUCAACCACUCGAGAGGACACCAACAUCAGUUUUUGCAUCUGAUGCUCUGCCAAUAUUUCCCUCGUCAAUCCCUCCGCAUUGCAAGCAUAAAACAUUAAAGAAAACACUGAUAAUAAAAAAUUAAGUGACAAUUCAAAAUGUUAUACAGUUCAUGUUAAUUAUUAAACUCUAACAAGACAAGAAAGAAAUUAAGAACAUUAAUUGUGAAAAAAAGUGAAAUAUUGAUUCAAAAUUAUAGAUCUUAAUGUAUGAAGCUAUAAAGGAAACGCCCAGAGGAUCUGUUUUGUGAUGAAAAUUUAAAAUUUAUGUUUUAAAUUAAUAAUAAUAUUUUGAAAAUUUGCACAUGUAAAAAAAUAUAGAAAUGUGUGAAUAUGUUUUCAUUUAGGUGGUAAUUUUGCUCGCCUAAUCAUAAUUCUUUUUGAUGUUGUAUGAAAAUAAAAAUAAUUGAAUAUUAUUUAGAGAUAUAUACUAAUUAAUUUAUUUAAAAAAGUUUACAAUCUAUAUACACUAUAUACAAAUUAUGAUCUAUAAUUUAAUGAGAUUCUGUAUAAUUGCACUUUAAAUUUAUAGUACAAUCCAGAAGUUUUUCAAAAAUUAACUUGGAAAUCUACUCUCAUAAAUAUACAAAAAGAUAUGUACGGUAUUUUAAAUUAAAAAUAUAAUAUUAUAAUUCAUUAUUAAUUUGGUUUGUAUUAAUGGGAAUCUUCCUUGCAUUCUUCUUUUAGUUGUGCCAAGGAUAUCCUUGAAAAGGAAAUGCUUCCUCAUGUUCCUAUGACUGAAUUCUCUAGAACUAAGAAAGCUUAUUAUUUUGGGUAACUAUAAUCUUCUAUAUAUUAUCAUUGUCAUUACUUUAGAGUAGUUACAGAUCUUAUUGAUCCUUUCUUCAGCUAUAUUAUACAUCAGCUUCUUCUUUGUGCAUUUGGCCGGUGGGUUAAAGAUGAUAGAUAUCAUUAUGGCAACAAGAGGUUGGACCUUGCUGGUUCAUUACUUAGAAGGCUUGUUUAGGAUGGUUUGUUUCAUUUUUGUGUUGAGGUAGUUGACUUUACUUGUGAUCAUACGAAUGAAGAUGUAUCUCUUUUCUUUUAACACCCCACUUUUAUAACUAAAAUAAGAUGAUUUAUUUUAAAAUAUUUAAAAUCUCAAUAUUUUUUUAAUAUAAAUACGGAUAAUUAAAACUUUUACAUGAUAAGCAGAAACUUCAUUACAAAAUAUAAGAGACAUAGAAAUUCCUUAGUAUAUAUUUCAAAACUUCGUUAUUAUGUAAGAGAAUUUAAGAUAUUUAUUUUUUAUAACAACACGACUAAGCCCAUCACAGUCCAACGGUUUGACAUGCCCAUAUGCAUUUCAUCUUGGUUGGGACUUGGCGUCAGCUUGAUCUACUCAUUAUUACCUACAAUGUAAGGAUUGCAUGAGCCAAAACCUAGUAAGAUAACAUGCAAGUAUAAAUUGUUAUGCACAUGGAUGAGCUUAUGAACAAUAAAUCUCUAAAAGAAACAUAGAAAUAUAAAACAACUUUGUUAGGGCCCUACGUACAUUGCACGACAAGGUUGGCAAUUUUCAUUCUUUAAAAUAGCAUCCCCUUAGGCCUAAAUUAAUAAUUGAUCUUUGGGCAUUGCAUAUCGCCGUCCCCAAAAGAUUACUCUUUAUUUAGCUUUGAGGGCUUGCCCUUCUUGGAAAUUUUACCACCCCAGUAGUACAACAAUCCAUUGUUCAAGACUCAUUUUUAAAAAUGUCUUCUUUGUAAAGUAAUCUUAACAUAUUAACAUGAAAUGCAUGUGUUCAAUGCAACCUAUAUCAUGACAUGUAAUGUUCCUAGAUAUAUAACAAAGCCAACCAUACAAAGUUUUCUGAAGACAACAAUCUUUAGUAUAGGCAGCAGUGCCGUCCAUAUAAAGAUUAAAUAAAAAAUGUUAUUAUAAUAUAGAUGGGAGAGUGGACUAGGGAUGGCAAAAUAACCUAGACCCAGCCCGGACCCGGAUGAACUCGGAUUAUCCGGUGCGGGUUGAACCCAGUCCGGAGAUAAAAAUAAUGCGGAUCCGGAAUUCAUUUUAUAAACCCGGACAUAUCCGGGUCCGGAUCCGGGUUUACGUAAACCCGGAUCUCCGAAACUCGGACCCGGAUAUCUUUAUUUUAAAAUUUAUUAAAUAAUUAAUUUUAAGUUAUUAAAUCUAAGUAUAAAAACAAAAAAAAAAAAAAAAAAAAGAAACCAUAAAACAAACUGUAGCCGUAGCUGAUAACUCUAUGAAAUGAGAGUUAUCAUGGCCCUUUUAGGCUUAAAUCAAUACUACUUAGAGAGUAAAUUAUGUGUUUCUAUUACAUUUUUGUUACAUUUUGCAUAAAAAAUCAUUUUAGUCAGUCUUAAUAAGUUUUGGUCGAUUUAAAGUAAUUUAUGCUCAAAUUGUGUGCAUAAUUGUAGGUUUCUAGAAGCUUAUAAUUCAUGGAAGGAAUGCUAUGCAAUAGGCUUGCAAAAAAAAAGGAAAGAACAUGGCUACAAAAGAGUUGAAAUAAAUCUGGAACAGUGCAGUUGCUGUAGAUAUUGCUGUAGCAACCAUUGCUGUAGCCGUUGCUGUAGCAAUCCUGGAACAACGAUAGAGAAAAUUCUGUGUGGGAUACUUGCAGAAUUACGAUCUGCAGUUUCUUAAUCUGACUUAUGCGUGCCUUAGGGUUCCGUUUACCCCAAUUUUCAACUAUAAAAGAAGCACACAUCAUAAGGAAAAAGGAGAGCCGUCACCCAAGGAGAAAAACACAAAGAAACAAAAGAAAAACAAGAUUCAAGAGAGAGAUUAAGGGCUGCACAAGAGGAGAAUUUACAGAAAUCAAUUGGGAGCUCAAUCCUUCUUAUUCUUAUCUUGUUUUCUCGUUUUCUAUUUAUUUAUGGGGAUGUGUUUCAUGGCUGAAACUUUGUUCUUUAUUUUUCUUUUACAAACCAUGAACUAAAUUUAUUUGUGGUUGAGUGAUAUAUGUGUUGCUGCAUGUUUGUUGUAGCAGUUUGUUUUGAUAGUAUUUUCUUUUAUUCAUUAUUUCGGUUGAUCACCCAUUUAAUGAUACAAGUUAGGAGAGAGCCGCAAAAUGGCCUAUCUUAGUGGAACAUAUCAGAAUGAUCUUAAAUUGAGUUUCCCGGAUUGAGUCUUACUUGAGUUCCAAAAGGGUCAUGCUUGAUUUAAGAUUAGUGAUGAACUAGACAUAAGGAUUCACCUUGUAGGGACAAUAGAACCUAAGCGUGUAAUGUUAUAUCUUAUGUUGGCAUAGCAACUGAUCACUGUUAGGUUGCAUAUAGAUAUAAGAUAUCCAACAUGCGACGGCUGAGGAUACAUAAGGAUUAUACCCAGUGCUGUAGCAAUUACUACAGCAACCGAGCCAACUAUUAGAAAAUAGUCAAGACUAUUAGGAGAGUUUAUUCACUCAACUACUCAAUAUUCCUAUUAGUUUUAUCCUUGAGAUUGACGUGAUAAUUUAUUUUGUUGCAUUUUAUUUACUGUGUUUUUAUUUUAAUUAGUAAAUUAGUUUCAUCAAUUGUUUAUCUUAAUUUAGACACAAAAUCUGCACUGUUAAGAUUGCUGUAGCAAGUCUAAUAACAUCAAUCCAUGUGAAGACGAUCUUAAAUACUCAUCACUUUAUUACUUGUUGUGUACACUUGCACAUUGACACCAAUAGCAUUGAUAUUUAUACACCAACAAUAGUAGCCCUGUUUCUCCUCUUCUCUCACCUUCUUCAAUCUUCACGCCACAAAGCCCAAAUUCAUCAUCGUCAAUUUGUCAUCAUCCUUGUCAAUAUUCAAGUAAUUCCCAAGCAUCAUCAUCAACAGCUCAUCAUCAUCCUCAAUAUUCAAUUCAUCCCGUCGUCGUUCUUCUUCAUCAAUUUGUCGCAUUGCCAUCCAUGAUUCACCAUCGUCUUCAUCGCGUCACCAUUCAUCUUGAUUACAUCAUCAACAUACAUGCUUCUUGGGAAUUAAUAGUGCUCUGAGGUGAUAUUAACAUAUGUGGGUCAGCUUUUAUCUCUAAAUCAUGAUUCAUUUCAAUUCAUUUAUAUUCAAGUUGUCUCGAUUGUAAAGAAUCUAUAAUCCUUUAAUCCAUUGGUGCUUGCGAUUUGAACUCUUUCUGGAAUUUUUCAUAACCUGAAACAAGUUUAUGUUUUUCAGUUCAUUCAGUUAUCCGGGUUUUAAACCCGACAUCCGGAAACCCGGAUUUCUCCGAGUUGAACCCGCACCGGACCCGGAGCCAAAAAAUCUGGGUUUAUAUCCGGAUCCGAAAUGCAAAAUUGUCAUCCGGGUCCGAAAUCGGGAAGGCUAAACCCAGACCUGGACUCGGAUUUUGCCAUCCCUAGAGUGGACCAUAUCAUAAUUAAAUAAAAAUAUCAUAGUAUAGGCGGCAUAGCCAACCAUAUAAAAAUUAAAUGAGAAAAUAUGAAAAUAUAGGCGGCAUAGCUGACCAUAUAAGGAUUAAAUAAGAAAAUAUCAAAUAUAGGUGGCAUAGCCAACCAUAUAAAGAUUAAACAAUAAAUAAUCACAUCAUAGUAGUCAUCAUAAGAUAAAAAAAUAAUUAAAGAUGAAUUUAAGUAUGGAAAGAACAUUAUUCGUAAACUACAGUUGAAGUGUUACUUAUCUCUUAAUCUUGACUUCUCUAGGCCCUCAUAAUUUGAGGAUUUCUCUAUUAUUUGAUGUUAUUACUUAGAAUAGAAGAGGACAGAAUUUCUAAAGUGAUAUAGAAAAUGAAAGGGCUAGGGGUACUUAUAGGAUUUUCUAAAGCUAAUGGAUGGUUAGGAUUUUACCACUAUAACUUUUGAUUAAUGGUUGAGAUUUAUCCUUGCAUAAAUAUCUCUGUAAAUUCUAGAAUUUAUUAAUAUUUUAUAGAUAUCUUGUUGCAUAAUUACUUAUGUCAUCGCUUAUGUCAUCAUUACUCUAGAAUUUUCUAUCAUAAAUAUUUUCUAUUAUUAUUAUUUUAAUAGGUAAGGGGACUUAUUAGCCUAAAAAUUAAUUCUACUAUAUUCAAAUGAGAAAUUUAUAUCUCACAAUUUCCUUCCCAUUACGAAAAUUUUAUGCUCGAAAUUGAUUUAUUGAAUAGCUCAGGAUACUUAUUCUUCAUAUUUUCUUCACGUUCCCAUGUUGCCUCCCCUAUCGAGCUAUUUCGUCAUAGUAUUUUAACUAGAAAAAUCUUCUUGCUUUUUAUCUCCUUUAUCUUUCUAUCAAAUACUUGGAUUGGACGUUCUCCAUAGGUUAAGUUUUCUCCUAGUUGAAAAGCCUUAUAAUCUAGCACAUGAGAGGGGGUCUGUAACAUAUUUCUUUAACAUGAAGAUAUGAAAAGAAAUUGUGUAUCCUUGACAAUGGUAGAAGAGCAAGUCGGUACGAAAUGUUCUUGACAUAUUCAAGUAUUUCAAAUGGUCCAAUAAACCUCGAAAUUAAAUUUCCUUUUACAAAUACCUUAUCACCAACUUGAAAUUCUGAAGGCCUUAAGCUCUUAUCUACAUGACUUUUCUGUUAACUUUGAGCUGCCUAUAUUCUUGGACGUAUUUUCUCGAUCGCCUUAGAUGAGACAACAAUGAGGCUGGGCCCAAGCUACCUUUGCUCGCCCAUUUCAUUCCAAUGAAUAGGUGACCUACAUUUUUUACCAUAUAGAGUUUCGUAGAGUGCCAUGCCGAUUAUUGCUUGAUAGCUAUUAUUGUAGGCAAAUGAAGCCAAAGGUAGAUAUUUGCUCUAUGAUAUUUGAAAGUCGAUAGUGCAUCCCCGUAAUAUAUCUUUUAGUGUCUAGAUCGUUGUUUCUAACAGACCAUUUGUUUGAGGGUAAAAUGUUGUACUAAAUUUUAAUUUUGUUCUCAUAGCUCUAUGUAACUUUUCCUAAAAUGUUGAGGUGAACCUUGUAUCUCGAUCAAAGAUAAUAGAAAUAGGUACACCAUAUAGUCUUACUAUCUCCUUUAUGUAUAUUUCUGCAAAUUGGUUUAUAGUGCACGUCAUUCAAAUAGGUAAAAAGUGAGCAGACUUUAUGAGUCAAUUGACGAUCAGCCAAAUGGCAUCAUGCAUUUCUUUUUCAAUUUUUUCAUUACUAUUGGUAUUUAUGCAAUUUUUUAGAAAGUUAAACUGCAAUGUGAGAGCUUAUGUGAAGAAGGUUCUAAGUAUUUGUUGCUUUCUUUCUUUUUUCCUUUUUGUUUGAUUUUGAAUCAUUUUUUUCAUUUCUUCUGGUUUGCACUCAUGCAGUUCAUCCAUUUUGUAAAUGUUGGAUAAGGAUCUAUAUGUUAAUUUGCAAUAUGCUAUUUUAGCUAAAACAAUUACCCAUGGUAUAAAGUAUUCUUUGGCUACCGGUAAUUAGGGCCAGUUAGAUGCGUUUAUUACAAGAACAAAAGUGUCAAAGAUUUUUUAUUUUUGAUCCAUUUGAAUACAUGAUAGUUUUUUUUGCUCACUCAAUUUCUACUUUGUAGCAUUCCUUGUAGUAUACCUUUUGAUUACAUUGAUCUUGUGGUCUUUCACAAAUGUUGAAUUACAGACAUGCGCCUCUACCUUGUCGCAUUUGCGAACACUGUGUUCUCCCAUAGGGCAAAAAGGUAAACUACUUAUUGUUGUGCAUGAUUUUGUUUUAUUGAGGGUUCAUUCAUGCUUAGUUUUGUUUUUCUUUUAUGCAUCACCAUGUUGUUAUUUUGUUAAUUUGUUGCAUAUAAUUAAUUGUUUUCACUUUAUUUUUCUAAAGAAGUUUUCAUUUACUAGGUACACAAGUAAAACCUAAGCUAGCACAUAAUACACAAUGGGGUAAGAUUUAUUCCUUUCCAACACUUUUAGGACAAGUAAGUUAAAAUUGUGCUUAUAGGAUAUAUCUAUAAUAUCUUUUUCUGAUUGUAGCUUACAAGAAUUUGUUUUGGUUAAUCCAGGCCUGUGGACUAGUGAAGAAUCUUGCUUUGAUAGUCAAUGUAACCCUCGGCUCAUUAGUAUUUCCCAUUAAUGAGUUAUUAGAAUAUGAGCCAAUAGUAGAAGCCAAGGUGCAUUUUGUAAUUUAUGGCACUUAGACGUUAAUUAUACAUAUUUCAUUCACAUUAUUUCAAUUUUCUCUUAAUUGUAGGAUGCUACUGCAAACUUUUUUCUACAAGCUACAAAAAUUUUUGUCAAUGGUUGCUGGGUGUCAUGCAUGAUGUUGGUUCAUUGGUCCAAGCUUUGAGACACUUGAAAAGAAAUGUCAUUAUACUUGUAUUUCAUCUAUUCGUAAAGAAACCUCUGUAUUAAAAGUUGGCAAACCUAUUGGUGUACUCUAAACUUUCUUUAGUAUUAUUUAUGCCAUUUCUGAACUAUUUUGUUUGUCUACCCAUGUACAAGACUUUAUAAAUGCUGCAAUUGGGGUUUCUAGGGAUAUCCAUUCAAAAGAAUUGUGUAUAUACACUGAUUUUGGUCGUUGUUGUCGUCCAUUGCUUAUUGUCCAGAAUCAAAGGCUUCUUAAAAAGAAGAAAGAUAUUGACGCCUUCUAUGACAAGGUUAGCCAAAUAGUUCUCUCUCUCUUUUUUAUUAAUGAUUUGUCUUUUCUGUAGUUACAUGACUUUUAUCUUGUUAAUCUUCUAGAAAUCUUCCGAAGAUGGUUGUUGGUGUGAUCUUUCUAAAAAAAGGGUUUAUAGAAUAUAUUGAUCCAUAAGAAGAAGAAACCAUAAUGAUUUGCAUGACAAUCAAUGUGAAUAAAAUGGUAUUGGUUGGUCGAAAACCUGUUAUCGUGAGACGUAAUUUUUAACUUGCUAAAAAUUUGAUUAACACAAAUUUGUUUCAGGAACUUGUAAAUGCAAAGCUUCGUCCAGAGGAGGCUACUUCUAAUGCAUACACGCAUUAUAAGAUUCAUCCAUCCUUGAUAUUGGGAGCUUAUGCUUCAAUUAUACCAUUUCCCGACCAUAAUCAGGUGCGUCAUGCUUAUGACAUUUCUAUGGUAAAAUAUGUUUAUAUAUUGACUCAAUCUCACCAAUUUUUUUUUUCUUUUUCUUGAUGGGGUUUGCUUUUAGUCCCCAUGUAAUACGUUUCAAGCUGUAAUGAGCAAGUAAGCAAUUGGAAUCUAUGCUACAAACUACCGAUGACAUAUGAUACUGUAUUUGGUUUCAAUUUUUUUGUGAUUGGAAGCUCAUAUUCAGCAUGUCAUAUAUAAUGAUAUUAUUUUUCCUUUAUAUGAAUUAGGAUGCUUUAGCCUAUGUUCUUUACUACCCUUAGAAACCACUACUUGCUGGGAAGCCAUAAAAUCGCUUCAAGUUAACCAACUUCCUACUGGUGUGGUGAGUAUAUAAUUUAAUGCUGCGUUAUUGUUGCUCCUUAUGAUCAUAGUUUUCUUAUAAUCUUUUUGUCUCUGUUAUUUGGUAUUAGAAUGCAAUAGUCACUAUUGCCUGUUAUGAUGGCUAUCAUCAAGGAAGUUUUGUUGUUAUGAACCAGUCAUCUAUGGAUUAAGGAUUAUUUCGAUCUCUUUUCCUUCCAUACAUCUAGGUAAGCUGUUGUUGAGUCAUUUUGUAUCUUAAUUAACACGACUCAAAAGUAUUGAUUACUUCCGAGUAUAAGAGUGUCUAAUUAUAAUAUAAUCCAGUGAGUUGGGGUUGAUCCACAAGGAAUCUAUAAAUCUAGUAGUCAUUAUUAAAAGGGAUAUUAUCAUUUUACUAUUAAAGUUAUUCUGACAUAUCAUGUCAAUACCAUGAUUUGCCGAAAAGUGCAUUUUACUACCAAACGUUUGUGCCGUUAUCAAUUCACUACUAUUCCCUUAAGAAUUUUAUGCAGUGUCCGUUGGGCCAGAGGUUUCAGCUGCGAUCCAAGAGAUUCUAAACUCUAAUUUGAUGUCGUCUGACUUCUUUUGCUCAUGGAUUUUAGAUAAAACUUCUGCGCUAAGUCUUGUUCAAAGUAUAAGUAUAGAAUUGAACUUGAUUCUGACUGAUUCCAUUGUUAAAAUGCAUGAGUUGUGUGGCUACUGGCUACUCUCCACUGAUGGUUUGCUGUCAUUGUACUUGUGCGUCAAAGAAGGCUUUCUUAAUAUUGUUGAGGAAAAUGUUGUCAGGUAAGGCUAAUCUGUUCACAUCUUGAAAUAAUUAUUUGAUGGUGAAUAUUUGUUAAAGUUAUCUAUUUUCUUUAUUUCUUAUGAUGAAGUAGAUUUGAUGUUGAGAAGAAAAAUAUUAGUGUUCAAUUGUGUGUUGAGUGAGUGGUUUAAAUGAGUAUUAAGAGUAAUUAAAAUUAUAUAGUAAUGUUAAAUUGUUCAUGAUAUUAGUUUAACGAAAGACUUCUUAAUUUUUUUAAUAAAAUUAAUAUAGUGUUCAAAGUGUAUUUUAUCAAUAAUGUUGACAUUCCUACAUUUGAGUCUUAAUUUUAUGUGUCAUUUGUUCAUUAGAUAAUAUAUUUUAUAAUUUAUAAAAUUAUUAUUUUAUUAUACAAUAAAUAAAUGACUCAUCAAUUAGGACUAAAUUGAAACAUAAAUGUUGAAUAUUACGUUUUGUUAAUGUUAAAGUGUAAUGGUCAUGUUAUGUAGCAAAAAUUCAUGUAUUUAUUUUUUAUUUAUUUUAUAAAAAUUCAGUUUUUCAUAUACAUAGAAGUUAGUAAAUUGAAAUUGUUUCUAUUAAACUGUUGAAGUGCAGGUGUGCAUUUGCUAUAUAUAUUAUUUUUCAGAAUCUUUUACUUUAAAAAAAAAAAAAAAAAAAAAAAGACUCGUACUUGAUAGGUAAUUAACUAGGAAAAAUAAAUAAAGAAGAAAGGUGGCAACUUAAGUUUAAUUUCAUUAAAAAUUAUGGGUAAAAUAUAUAAUUAAAUAUUUUGUUGAUAAUGAGACAAAAAGUUAUUUUAUGUGAUUUGAAGAAACAAAAGAGUAAUGGACACAUGUCUAAUGUACAAAGAGUAGGCGAGUAAGUCGCACUGACCGUAACACUAUUUAUAUAUACUGUUGUGGACCCGCCUGAGUUACAGUUCACGUAACACUACUCGACUUUUCUGGCUUCUUAAUGUAAACUAUCGUUGACCUCCUUAUACUUUAUAUUAUUAACAGUUUAUUCAUAAGUAUAUAAACUUUUCUGUAUUGUAAACUUUUGUUGAGCCCCUUACACUUUAUUUUAUUUUAUUGAAACCCUUAGAGUAUCAAAUUCGCCCCUAUAAUUUUUAAAUUCCCAAAAUACCCUCUAUUUAAUUUAAAAAUAUAAUUAUUAUUAAAUGUGUUAUUAUUAUAAUUAUAAUAAUUAUUUUAUUAUAAUUAUCAAUAUAAUUAUAAUUUUAAAUAGAUUAUUAUUAUUAUUAUCAUUAUUAACAAAAAUAAAAGUAUUAUAAUUAAAUAAUCUAUUAACGAUAAUUAAUAAUAAUUUUUUAGUUAAAUUAAUAAUAAUAAUAAUUAAAAUUUAUUAUUAUUAUUAAUUAAUUUUGAAUAAUAAUAAUAAUCAAAAUAAUUAAAAUAUAAAAUAAUAAUUAUGAUAAAAAUUAAUUAAGAAUUUUAUAGUAAUUUGCUACAAUUUAACUCAUUCCUAUUUUGAUUCUAAAACAAAGUAAAUACAUAAAUGGUAAUACAACUCAUUCUAAUUAUGAUUCCUCCAGUUCAAGUAAAUAAAUUAUUUUGAUUCCAAUUCCUCAUUUUGAUUCUAUCUAUUCCAAUUUUAACUCAUUAUGUUUUCAGCUAAUUUUGAUUCCUAUUUAGUGAAUGCACUAUAAAAUUGUAAACCACUCUAUAUUCAACUAGACCACUCUAUAUUAUUUACAAUUUAUUCAUAAGUAUUAUGAAACUUUCUUCUUACCUAUACUAUAAAAAUUCAAUUUAUCUCCCUACACUCUUUUUCAUUUACUAUUUUUUUAUAAGUGUCAAAAGAGUGUUUACAACCAUGACACAUUAGUUAUCAUAGCACACUAAUAUUAAUAAAAAGUUUUUUAAGAAUAUUACCAUUCAUCUUUUAUAUAAUAUAUUCUCAUAAUAAUUAAUACUUUCAUGAUAAAAGGAUUAACAAAAUAAAAAGUAAAUUCCCUUUGAAUCCAUCCCUCUCCACCAUUAACUUCUCUUUAUCAGCAACCUUCAUCGAUAAUUGAAGUCACCAUUAGGCUCAUCAAAGAGAAAGAGAGUACGAGAGGGGAAGAAGAAAUGGGAAAAAAAUAUGAGAUUUUCACAAUUUUAUAGUGCAUUCAUUAAGCAAGAAUCAAAAUUAGCUGGAAAAAUAAUGAGUUAUGAUCGAAAUGAGGAAUUGGAAUCAGAAUAAUUUAUUUACUUAAACUGCAGGAAUCAUAAUUAGAAUGAGUUGUAUUACCAUUUAUGCGUUUAUUUUGUCUUAGAAUUAAAAUCAGAAUGAAUUAAACAAAUUAUUAUAAAAUUCUUAAUUAAUUUUUAUCAUAAUUAAUAUUUUUUAUUUUAAUUAUUGUGAUUAUUAUUAUUUAAAAAUUAAUUAAUUAAUAAUAAUUAUUUUUAAUUAUUAUUAUUAUUAACAAUUUAACUAAAAAAUUAUUAUUAAUAUUGUUAAUAGAUUAAUUACUUAUAAUACUUUUAUUCUUGUUAAUAAUAAUAAUAAUAAUAAUCAUCAUCAUCCAUUUAAAAAAUAUAAUUAUAAUUAUAAUCUAUUUAAUAAUAAUUAUAUUUUUUUAAUUAAAUGGAUGGUAUUUUGGAAAUUUAAAAAUUAUAGGGGCGUAUUUGAUACUCUAAAGGUUCUAGUUAAAUUAAACAAAAAUUACAUACGUAUGUACAUACAUACAUAAAUUAUAGGGGCGUAUUUAAUAUCUAUAAAUUAAACAAAAAUUACAUUAAAUAUUUACACAUUGUCAUACAUACGUAUGUACAUACAUACAUACAUACAUACAUACAUAAUUUAUCGAUAUUAUAAAAUAUACAUAUCUACUAAAAUAUUACAUACACUAUUGAGGUUUUAAUUAUAUAUAUGUAAAUAAUAUUAUAUAUCAAUAUUAUAAAAUAUACAUGUCUACCAAUAUUUUAUACAUUUACAUUAUUAAAGCUCUAAAUAUAUUUAAAAUUUUAUAAAUAAAAUAUUGUGUCUAUAUUCAUCCUUUUAAAGAAUAAAAAUAAAAAAAAAUUAUUUUUAAUAUUUGAGUUUUGAUGAUAAGAAUCUGUAAAUUAUUUUAAAAUAUAAAAUAUAAUCAGGUCAUUGAUCGGAUAAAUGGGUUAAGAAUUUUAAUCAUAACCCGAUACGGAAAAAAAUUGUGUUGACCCAAACUCGAUCCAUUUAAUAAUCGUAUUAAAUUUAAUGACCCAUACUUAUUUAUUGGUGUCAUACUCGUGUCGAGUAAUCGGAUCGUAUCAAAUUUUAUCAGCUCUAGGUACAGCAACUCUUAUUUUCAUAAACAGACUUUUUGUCUUCUGCCCUUUUUUUUUUUUUGCCCUUUUUUAACUUUUUUUUUUGGUCCUUUUUUAACUAACAAUUAGUAAUACUACCAAUUACAUGUGACAACUGUAAGGAGUUCAUUGUCAACAAAAUAAUUAAGUCCAGAGAUUUGUUGUACCAUACUUGACAAAAUUCAACACAGUCUAAUAAAUGCUGAAAAGUGGAAACGGAACAAUUGCAGAGCGCCGGUGGAGCUCACCCGGCUAGAAGAUUAACAAAUUUCCUCCAUUAUUGUAGCCUAAAGACUUUUGAAGGCUAGAGACUUGUUCCGAAAUUUCAGCAUCCAUUUAGAUCGAGUAAAAACCAUCUUUCUCGGACGAUUACGAAGCAAUGGCUGUUGAAGAGCUCUUACUGUCUGCUUUCUUUCAAGUGUUGUUUGACAGAUUGGCUUCUGGUGAUUUUCUCACCUUUGUGGGUCAACUUCGAGGCGGGCUGGAUUCCGAGCUCAAAAAGUGGGAAAAAACUUUGAUAAUGAUACAGGCUGUGCUCAGUGAUGCAGAGGAGAAGCAACUGACGGACAGGGCUGUGAAGAUCUGGCUCGAUGAUCUCCGAGACUUGGCUUAUGACGCAGAGGACAUUCUUGAUGAGUUUGCUACUGAAGCUUUGAAUCAGAAGACGAUGGCAGAAAAUUCGAACCACAGUCCUGCUUGUUUCAACUGUUUUAGUCCAAGUUCUGUCAAGUUUAAAAUCGACAUGGAUUCCAAGAUUAAAAGUAUCACUAGCAGGUUGGAUGAACUAUGUGCUAAAAGAAUUGUACUUGGAUUGCAAUUGAUUCCUGGAGGGAUAUCAAAUGCCUGGAAGCGAAGACCGCCGAGUUCAAGUGUGCCAACGGAACGGGCUGUCUACGGCAGAGAUGAGGAUAAGGCCAGAAUACUUGAAAUGGUGUUAAGUGAUGAUCCAACCGCUGACGCCAACUUUUGUGUAAUACCAAUUGUCGGCAUGGCAGGGUCUGGAAAAACAACGCUUGCUCGGGAGGUCUACAACGACAGGGCUGUGCAAAAUUUCAAGUUUGAUGUGAAAGCAUGGGUUUGUGUUUCUGAUGAUUUUGAUGUUCUUAGCAUUUCGAGGGCUCUUCUCGAGUCAAUCACCUCCACAACUUGUGAUGUCAAGACGUUGAAUGAGGUGCAGGUUAAAUUGAAAAUUGCUGUGGAUGGAAAAAGGUUCUUGCUUGUAUUGGAUGACGUUUGGAAUGAGAACUACAACUUGUGGGAAAUCCUCAAAGCUCCCUUCAUGGCUGGUGCACCAAAUAGCAAAAUCAUUGUCACUACACGCCAUUCAAAUGUUGCGUCAACGAUGGGAUCCAUUGAACAUUAUAAUCUUAAGCUUCUGUCAGAUGAAGAUUGCUGGUCUGUUUUUGCGAAGCAUGCGUUUGAGAGUAGAGAUGCCGGUGCUCAUCAAUUUUCAGAAUUAUUUCGUAAGAAAAUUGUUGCAAAGUGCGGAGGCUUACCUUUAGCAGCAAGCACUCUUGGCGGCCUUUUACGCGCUAGACAUACAGAAGAUGCGUGGGAGGAUAUAUUGAGCAGCAAAAUGUGGGAUUUGCCUCAAGAAACUGACAUUCUCCCCGUGUUAAGGUUGAGCUACCAUUAUCUUCCUUCUUGUUUGAAGAGAUGCUUCACUUAUUGUGCGAUUUUUCCCAAAGAUUAUGAGUUCGAGAAGAAUGAACUUGUUUUUCUGUGGGUGGCUGAGGGUAUGAUUCAACAAUCAAUGACAGAUAAACGAUUGGAAGAUUUGGGCAAUGAGUUUUUUUGUGACCUCUUGUCUAGAUCACUUUUCCAACAAUCAAGCAGAGAUGGUUGUAAAUUUGUGAUGCACGACCUACUUCAUGAUUUAGCUCAAUUUGUUUCUGGAGAAACAGGUUUCUGGUUGGAAGAGGCAAAUAAGAAGUUAAGAACAUUCGAAAGGAUUCGUCAUUUUUCUUAUCCUCGUGCUUAUCAAGAUGGAAAAAACAAAUUUGAGGGUUUGAAUAAAGCCACAAGUCUGCGGACGUUUUUGCCUCUGAAAGUAAGAGUUUUUUCAUCUUGUUAUUAUAUAACCAACACGGUUCUUCUUGACUUGCUGCCAAAGCUCAAAAAGUUGAGGGUGCUAUCUUUAGAAGGAUACUGCAUUGCUCAUUUACCUAAUUCUAUCAAAGAUUUGAAGCUUCUAAGGUACCUCAAUCUUUCUGGUACAAUGAUCAAAAGUUUACCUGAGUCAAUAAGUUCACUGUUCAGCUUGCGGUUUUUGAUGUUAAGAGACUGUGAUCGUCUACAGAAGUUGCCUUCCAACAUGAGAAAUUUGAUUAAUUUGCAUCAUCUAGAUUUAAAGGGCGCACAUUUAUUAACAGAGAUGCCAUCGGGAAUGAAGACAUUGAAAUUUCUACAGACGUUGUCUGAUUUUAUUGUGGGUAGGGGUAUCGUAUCUGGCUUGAAGGAUUUGAAAAAUUUAACUUUCCUCCGUGGAGAACUUUGUAUUUCGAGAUUAGAAAAUGCGAAUAAUUCAUGGGAAGCAAGAGAAGCUUCAUUGUGCGAUAAGAAGUGUCUAGAGGCAUUGUCAUUAAAAUGGGGCUCUCCUCAUCAGUCGCGAAAUGUUAAUGAUCAGGCAGCAGAAGAAAAUGUACUUGAUAUGUUGCAGCCACACAAAAAUAUAAAGAAGCUAGAAAUCAUGCAGUAUGGUGGCAGGAGAUUUCCUGUAUGGUUAGGGGACCCAUCAUUCUCUAACAUGGUUGCUUUAAAAUUGAUAGGAUGUAAAAAUUGCACAUCCUUACCUGCUGUGGGGCAGUUGGUUUCCCUGAAAGAGCUUACAAUUGAAAGAAUGCUUGUACUCAGAAGUAUAGGGUUUGAAUUCUGUGGAAAGAAUUGCUUAAAGCCUUUUCAAUCCUUAGAGACUCUUUGCUUCAGUGGUUUGCCAGAAUGGGAGAUCUGGGAUACCGGCAACCAGACUGGGUAUACUGAAAUAUUCCCUCGCCUCGUUGAACUGUCCAUUUCUGGAUGCCCCAAACUAUCUGGAAAAUUACCCGACCAUCUUCCUGCAUUAGAGGCCCUUGUUGUCAGCUAUUGCGAAGAGCUGGUAGUUUCAUUCUCAAGCUUUCCUUUGCUCUGCAAAUUGGAAAUUUAUAGAUGCAAAGGACUGGUUUGCAGCUCUCCGAUUGACUCUAAGUUGAUAAAGCGUUUGACUAUUUCAAGCUGUUCUUUAGACAUAUGUGGAUGCAAAGGGAUGGUAUACAAUAGUCCACUUCACUCUAAAUCACUGUCGACGCCUGUGAAUAUUUCAAAUCUUUUAGAGUUUGGAAAAUUGUUAAAGCAAGGAUUUCUACCAGCAGAGUUUCUGGGGAUUGGCGAUUCUCAAGAUAUUCGGUCAUGGAGGCCCCAGUUUUUUCAGGGUAUGCAAUUUAGGGAGAAGGCAGCACAAGGGCUAUGGAUUAUCAUCGCCCCUGGAGAGGUAUCAACUGAAGAAAAAUGCAUGAGUCUGGUUUCAUUUCCAGAGGUAAAAUUUUUCCCGAUCAAUCGGCUUAAUCUUAAAAUUGAAAAUAGUGGAGCUUUAAAAUCCUCACUUGAGGGAAUGAUAUACAACUGUGCACAGCUGAAAAGUUUGGCCGUUGAAGGUUGUGAUUCUCUAGAAUACAUUGCAAGAGGCAAGCUGCCUUCGUCUUUAGAAUGGGUUCAAAUACUUGAUUGUAAGAAAUUGCAGUGUUUGUUAGUUGAUGAAGAGGAUGCUUCUGCUGCUUCUUCCUCAUUAUCCUCUUCAUCAAUGGCUCUCAAGUGGCUUGUAAUUAGCGGCUGCUCGGAGCUCACCCAUUUAUCAUCAAGAAGUAGACAAUUGCCAGAAGAGCUUGAAUAUCUCAACAUUGAGGACUGUCCAAAAUUAGAGUCGAUAGCCGAGAGCUUUCAUGGUAACGGACGAGUGAAAAUGAUUUUCAUCUCUAAUUGUGGAAACCUGAAAUCCAUACCGAAGGGCCAACAGAAUCUUAACUGUCUUAAGGAAAUCAAAAUCUUGAACUGUCCAAGUCUUGUUUCUUUUCCAGAAGGAGGGCUUCCCAGCACUGUUACAAAUGUUUCUAUUGGCAGUUGUGACAAGCUGAAAGCCCUACCCGAAGACAUGCACAAGCUCCAUUGCCUUCAAGAGUUAGAAAUCACGGAAUGUCCGAGUAUUGAAUCAUUUCCUGAAGCAGGCUUUCCUACCAACCUAACAUUACUUGUAAUUACUGAUACCAAAAUGUACAGGGCAAUUAUCCAAUGGGGCUUGCACAGGCUUACAUCUCUUCUACGCCUUUACAUACAUGGAGGUGAUAAUGCUGAGUCUUUUCCAGAUGAGAGGAUGGGAAUAAUAUUACCAACCUCUUUAAAUAGAUUGGGUAUUUCUGGAUUCCCAAGUCUGAAAUGCCUAUCUGCAAUGGGUUUUCAAAGCCUGGUCUCGCUUGAAUUUCUGAGAAUAUCCAAUUGCCCGAAGCUCAAAUCCUUUCCAGCGGUAGGCCUGCCACACUCACUUUUGCAGCUGCACAUUAGAGGUUGUCCUUUGCUGAAAAAGCAGUGCAAAAGGGACAAAGGAAAAGAUUGGUCCAAGAUUGCUCACAUCCCUUAUGUUAUGAUAGAUGGCAAAUUCAUCUUCGAUUAGAAAGAGAAAGAAUGAGCUCUGUUUAAUCUCAGAAUGAAGAAUUAAAGAAUUGCCUCCUUUGUUCCCUUAUCUUCUAUAAUCAGGUAUGCCAAUUCCUAUUAUCCGGGGUACUAAAAACACAUUGUUAAAUUAUAAACAUAUUUUGAUUUUCAAUUUCAAGAUCAAUCCUCUGCCUUCAACUGAAAAUGGCGCUAAAAUAUUUCAUUUUUACUUUUCUCAGACACUAUGAUACGGCAAUCUGACUUGAUGAUGCUGAAGUUUUUUAUGGUAAUGCACAAAUGGUUGGUAAGUACCUGAAAAUUUCAAGUUAUUUUAAUACUGUUUCCAUUUUCACUCAUCAGAAUUUUUUACGUAUUUUAUGCAAUCGUACUUGUCAAAUGAAGUUUUCAUUUUAUGAUGAUCUUGAUGCCAACUACAUUUCCAACUCUUUUAAGUUUUUGAACUCUUGCGAGUGAAAGUCAAUGAGAAGAAGUUUAUGACCUUUUCCAACGAUCAAUUCAAUUUGCUUCUAAGGAUAUAACAUUAGUCUUAACUUAUUUCAAGUAGCAGAUAUGAUUCUAUCUUUCUUCUGUUGUUUUUUCGGAGGCCAAGGUUGCUCACAUUCCUUGAGUUGACAUAGAAGGAAGCAUAAGGGAAGCUCUGAGACAAUCUACAUCAAAAUGUUCACCCACUCUUUCACAGUUUGGAAUGUACUACACUGCCUUCAAAAUGGACUUUUCGAAUCAAAAGGCAGAAAGGUAAUUAUACAGGGUUCAAAAGUCGGUUAAAAGUUAGUUUAAAAGCUUCUUAUUUUGUACAUGGAUCAUGGCAACAUUUGUUUUAUUUGGAUAUUAUUUGUUUUUAUACUGGCUUUUAGUUUAUUUUAGGUUCUCUGAGCAAAAUUUUAUCGUAAAUGCGAUUACUUGGAACACCAGUGUGCGUUUAAAAUGAAAUUGGGUCAUCUUAUCGCAAUUCUACGACCAAUCCAAAAAAAAUCCCCAACAAGAAAAUCAAGGAAAUCAGAUCAACUAGUGCAAGACUUGGCUUUGAGAAUAGAAGAAAACGAAACAUAAUCUUAUAUAUGGUGUCCAAAUUAAAGAAAAUUUGAGGACCAGUUCGGGAAAUCCCUAAUCAAAUUUUAGGAAGCUGGAUAACUUGCAGCCAGAAACCAAGUGAAUAAUAGAAUAAUUUGAGAGUUUUGUGGUAUGUAUUGUUAUGUCUAUAAUAGUAAUUUAAAUUUUGAACAAUUUUGUAAUAAAAGAAUUUUUUUUUUUUACAGGUGGAUCUAAUGUGUGUUUUGGCAGAUUAAAAUAACCGCACCAUUUUUUACAAUCACAUAAUGAGAAAAAUUACCAAAAUCCCCUUUAUUUUCUUAGAGAUUAAUCGUUUUAGAAAUUCACUAAAAUUUUUUAUAUUAAUUAUAUUUUAUUGAAGUAUCAAAUUAUUGCUAUAGCAUGCGAAAUCUUUUAAUGAGUUUUAAAACAUAAAGUAAAAAUGUUAAAUUUUAGCUAAUAAGAGUAGCAAUCGACAAUUCAUGGUGUAAAAAUAGCUGUAUCCACCAUUUAUAUAAAAUAGAAAAAUAGGAACCAAGAAUAUUUAAUGUACACAAUUUUUAUUUCCACUUACUCGCAUUUUUUACAUUCCUUUUUUUUCUUCAUUUUAGUUGGGGUGUUAGAUAAAUCCGUAUGGAUAUAUACUUAUUACAGUCAUUGUAGCGAUCCACAACAUUCUUGCACCACAUUAAAAAAGUGAGAGAGUAACUAAGAAAAAACCCAAAAAUCCACUUUUCAUUUUAUUAAGUUGAAUUUCUUGCACAGUCUUACUUCAUUAUUCAAAAUUUUUAACUUCCUCAUAUAUUUUAAUGUUAUUCUAUAUUUAAAUAUAUAUUUCUAGUGAUUAUAAAAGGUUCUGAAAGAUGAUACAAUGAAUAUGCCUUUUCAAGAAAAAAAUGGUAAAAAAGAAAUUAUACAAAAAUUUAGAAAACAAAAUUUGUUUACGUGUUUCAUGCAUCUAAAUGUGUUAUAAAUGUAAAACAAUAAAUUGAAAGGAUCUUUCACAAAUCUUUUCAUUUGAGAAGAUGAAAAUCUAUAACUAACACUUGAAUAAAUCAGGUUUAAGAAAACAAAAAAAAAAAACUAUUUUUCCUCGUGUAUAUAUAUAGCUUAAAAUUAUAAUCUUUUUUAUUUUCACCAAUUAGCUUUAAAUUUUAAAAAUCUUUUUUUAAUUAAAAAGAAAAGAGUUUGAAUAGAGAGUGGAAUUGGGGACUUCUAGGUUUGAAGUUUUUGGGAGUGAUGAAGAACUAAGAGCUGAAUAGCAUUGGGUGCAAAACAAUUGGCGUGGCUUUGGCUUUUUAUAGGACUUCAUUGUUCACGUUACUUAUUCGACACAUGGCUUCUCAUGGGUGGAAUUUGUUUUACAACUGACUUCACAAUUCACAUGUAGCUUUAACAACUUGGGACACAUGGCUUUGACGUGGGUUGAGUUUGUUGUAAUGGCUUCUCGUGGGUGGAGUCUUUUCUGUGAUUUGCGAUUGACUAAUUGGUAAAGGCAAACGAUUUGGACUAAUUACGUCCGAACUACGCAUGGGAACUUUAAGAGUGAAAUCUUGUUGCAGAUUGACGUGGUCAAGGUUACUAGGAGUGGUCUUAAGUUCAGAUUGACAUAGCGGUAAUAGACGAGGAAGAGGAAGAGACGAGGUUCAACUCGCAGAUGUAGCUUGAUGACGGAGCAGCUGGCGGAUUUUUAUUUCUUAUUACUCCCUCAAGUUUAAUUAGUUUCACAUAUUCGUUUUUACGUUUGAUCUUGGCACAUGUUUCAUUUUAACUAAAUAGAGAACCAGAAAAGAGCAGAUAACUAGAGCUGAGAGAUCUAUAUGUACAAUUAAAGACUCGUUAAAAUAAAUGAUUUCAAUACAAAAAAAAAUAAGGUUAAAGAAAUUACAUUUACAAUUGAUAGUUUGCUAAAGAACCGACUAAAAAAUAAACAAUAAAAAAACUUAACUUUCUAUACUGACUCAAUAAUGACAAAGUAUCGAUAAAAAAUGACAAAACUAUAUUGUAUCUUGGGAUUAUUCAUAUUGUAUGUAGUGUGCUAAUAAAUUAAAGAAAUUAAUGCUCCUGUGAAACCAAAAAAUAAUGUUCAAAAUCAUUCUCCAAAUUCAAUGUUAAAUUAACAACUUUUAGUAAGUUUACUUCUUCGAUUCUUUUUUUCUUUAAAUUUUUUAUGAAUAAACAUUUUUUUUAUACCGACUAUCUUUAUUUAUUUAUUUAUUUUAUAUCAAUCACGAGGUAUCUUGGGGAGGGCUCCAACUGUGGGAGGCACCUUUAAGCCCGUACCAUAACCCAGACUAGAAGUCUCCACUCGAACCGGGAGGCACAGGUUCUCCCAACAAAGGUGACUUUCCUGCGACUCGAACUGGGGAGCAAACCCAGUCAAGCCACUUAAGGGGACUCCAUUGCCAGUGGAGCCAACACUUUGUUGGUACCGACUAUCUUUAUUUUAAAGAAUAAGAAUGUCUGCCCAAAAAAUGAAACUCAAACCCAAAGGUAAACCACAUUUGCCAACUGCCAUUAAGAAAAAGGCGGUAGCAGAACAAUAUCAGCAAAAUCAUCAAAUUAAUUAUUAAUUGGUUUACAAUAAGAGGGUGAUGUUUCAUCUUACAGAAGCAAGGGGCAAAGCCAAUCCACCACUAGACUGGCAAAUCAAACGAAUACACAACUCUGCAACCACAGAAAAAAUCUUUAAAAUAGAGCAAACAUAAGAAAAGAUUUGCAUUCAUUCAACUUUCAACCUAAUGAUAUGUUAUAUGUAGCCCUCCAAUCUCCUUUUCUUUCGGCUUUGUAAAUUCUUUUUAGCCAAAAAUAUACUUGGAUCUGUCGGAUCUGAUGACACGAACACUUUUUAAGUGUUCAUCUGUCUGCUUAGUGGGAUAACGAUUCAAGGCCGUCGAUACUUUUGGAAACAAAGACAACCUUGAAGCUGAUCACCCGGGAUCACACCCCCACCUUUUGAUGUGUCAAUGGCCUCCCACAUUGAAACUCCUUAAUCCAUCUCAGGCCGCUUAUCAGGGUUAGUAUCCCAGCAUCUCUUCAUUACAUUUGCUUGAGAACUUGGGCAGCGUCUUGGUAUCUCCAGCGUCUCAGAUUCUGUUUCAAAAUGAAUGUAGACAGAAAUAAGAAAUGGGUUGCAUUUUGAGGUAUCAAUUUUUUUUUUUCCCCUUUUUUGAGGACCUGUUGAAAAUGGUCGAUUCUUAGAGAAAGAUAAUUACUGUACCCGGCGAACCACGGCUGAGGUGACUUCUGAGAAACUAAGGUCGGGAUAUGGCAUAUCACAGCAAUAUAUCUCCCAUACGCAGAUGCCAAAACUUUACACAUCACAUUUCCUAUUAUAUGGAUUGCCAUUCAGAACCUGAAACCAAGCCACUUGAUUCACUCAACUCAGAUUAAUACUGUCUCAUUAGCUAAAACAUUACAUCUGUAUUUCCACCAAACAAAAGAAAAAAAAAGCUCAUAGUAACACGGACAUUCCAAAGCCAACACAUCCCAUCAUCACAUCAAAUGAAGCAGAAAUUAACGGGAGAUGGUGCAAUCAAGAAUUUAUAGGAAAUGACCAUAUAUGUAUGACUGAUCUUCCAGACCUAUACCCCACUACAUUUUCCUUGAAACACAUAAAGAAAAACUAACAGCCAUGAAUUAUCUUUUUCUAGUAAAAGAAACUGACCUCAAAAUCACACUACAUAUAUGCAAGUAGAAAAGAAACAGAAAUAAAGUCUAUACCUCCGGAGCCAUGUAACCAAGCGUCUCCCCCCCCCCCCCCAAGUCAGGUCAUUAGGAUUUGGGGCUUCAACGCCGGCAACUACAAGAUCAGCAAUUUUUACAGUGCGAGUCUUGUUCAAUAAUAGCAUGUUCUCUGUUUUCACAUCUCUGUGGACAAUCUUCUGUGAAUGAAGGUUACUCAAUCUACAAAAUAUAAGUGCUGAGCUGAACAAGAUUUCGAGUCGCAAGCCAUCCUAUAGAGCCAUAGGGUAACAUAUGGUAGAAAAAUUACAAUUACUAAUGGGGUAGAUAUAGGUACCCUCCGUCGAGAUCAAGUGCUAGCUUGACAACCACUUUGAAAGCUAGUUUCCUUCUCCUGUGGUAAGUUUCAUUUCCUUCUAGAUUUUACCACAUGUGUUCAGCUUAAUUUCUUCCAAUUACUCCGAUUUAAGACCAAAUUAGACUUUCGAAUACGGGCUUAAGCAAUAUAUAUAAUGCAGAUGACCUAGGAAAUGGGCAAGGAUACUUGGUAAUAUGAAGGGACAAUUUGGAUGUGUUUGCAAAAAUGAAAAGACAGUAACCCUGAAAUAUUGGAUGCGAUUGAUGACUUGACGGUCAAUCUAAAGUUUUUUUUUUUUCUCUCUCUAAAUUUUUUAAAGCACUAAAUGCUUUCAGAUCCAUUUGCCAUCUAUAUUGAGUGUAUUCUAAUUAUAAUUCUAUCGUUGUUUGUCCUUUGAAAGCAAAUACGUACAAAACUGUAUUUAUCACUCUAUUUUAAACCCACCACCAAAAAUAUAAAAUAAAAUCAAAAUGUAUCUAUUAAAUUAAAUAAUUUGCACACACUACAGCUCUUAAUAGUCUGUCUACUUAUAAACUAAAGUUAUUUAUUAAUCAUGGUUAAUAUGAGAUGUGUGUAACAAAAAAACAACAAAUAGCUGGCUUGCUUUGCUCCAGAAAAAUCAUCGAGAUUUCGGUUAGGCAAACUGAGCAGUCCAAUUUUGGUACAAUAAUUUAUCUAACAAUUUUUAGUUUAGCAUUAAAUCAUAAUAUCGCUUUUUAUUAGCAUUAAUUUAAUUUCUUUUAAUUAAUGAUUAUGUUAUACGUAUAGUGUUACUCUCAUCAUCGUUUAACUUUUUUAAUCCACUACUGAUUAAUGGUUCAACAUAUUAUAAUUCAGAGAGAAUGACAAUUCCAUACCUCCUUUCUUUUUUUCCCUUUUUUUUUUGGCAUCACUUAGGUUUCUUGUAGAUUUUUAGUACCACAUUUUAUCAAUGACUAAAAAUGUUAAUUGAAAAAUUAUGCGGUUGACGGUAAAAUAUAGUUGGUUUAUUGAUGCACAAACUAAUACAUAAAAACGGGAGGUUGCUAUGUUACAGCAUCUGAACAUACACACCCAAAGCAAAUAGCACACGUGUCCCGACUUACAGAGAAACAGCAACGCAAAGCAAGGUUGGGGGGUUGCUGAAGCAGCAUCUGUAAGUUACUUACAGAUGCUGUGACUUAGUCAGCUCCCAUAAAAACGUAUUAACAUUGGGCCAGUUAAUGAGGUCCUUUCAUGCCGGCGCAACAUGAUCGUGCAAAUAUGAAAUUUUCACUGAACAUUGGUGAGCCAUGGUCCAAAACAACAACCGGACCAGUUAAUGAGGCUGGCUUAGUGUCUCUAAACAAGGACUAGCCCAAGUAUCAGUCAAUCAAGGCUUCGGUAGUUGGCAUCCCAAACCCAAUCAAGUGCUCUAUCCUAAAACUAAGAGUGGACCUUCUAACACCCCUUCAAAAUUCUUAUGAAACCUUUUUUUCCCAAUUAUUAUUAUUCUUAUUUUAAUACCAACAUACCCUUUUCUUAUUAAAUUCCAUUUACAAUUAUUUUAGUUUAUUCCAAUUUAAUUAUUUUAAGGCCUUAUUUGGUAAUGAGCUACUGUAAUUUUUACAGCUACUAUGAAAAAAACUGUAACUAUAAAAUAAAAGUUAAUAAUAUAUAAUAAAUAUAAUUUUUAAAGAAUGAUUUUGACAAAAUUAAUAAAGAUAUACUACACUUUUUAUCAUACAAGUAUAAAAUCAAAUCAACUUAGUUUCUUAGCUAUAAUAGUUGGUAUUUACUAAAUAUUUUAGUACGGUAAAAAUUACAGCUACCCAACAUAAAUUCCAAAUAAAUACUUAAAUUAGAUAGAGGCGAUGAGUUUGCAAAACUAUGUAAACUUAAGCGGAGCUUCUUGAUGGUUCCUCCAAUCGCAGUCAUGAUAGCAAAUGUUGAACUUGGAAAAACAUAAGCUGCCGAACUCAAUAAGCAUUUGGAAUAGAUAGUACAUCAUGUAGUUUUAAAACCAGUUUUUUUUUUUUUUAACUUUUCUGACCGGUGAAACAAACCAAUGUCUUACUUUUGGUCUUUUGGAUAGAUGAGUCAAAAAAAAAAAAAAGCACUCGUUGAUUUUUCAGAUUUAGAGAGAGAGAAGCGAUCGAAGAGUUUGUAGAGAAAAUAAGAAUACCCUAGGUGUGAAACGUGUAGAUGAGUUUGUUCUUCAAUAGCAGGGUAUUAAUAGCUGUAUUGUAAGGCAAAUAGAUUGUCCCUUAAGCCCAUUGAAACUCGGCCUAUAUCUAAGGAAUAAGUAGACUUUAAUUCUCAAGCUGAUUUGGGGGACACUGGGCCAGGCUGGCUUCGUUUUGUUUUUUGUUUUCUCUCGCAAAUAAAAUUACCAAUUUAAAGUAAGGCUUUGGCUACUUUAGAGUUUGUCUAAAGCAAAGUAAGAAUCACAGCCACAUAGAUAAAAUGAUAAAUAUUAAAAAAAUUAUUAUAACUUUGAUCAUAUGGUUAUAAUAAAUUGUUUUACCUUAAAGCAAUUCUAAUAUAAUCGAACCCAAUCCCAAUUAGUUAUAAACAUAAAGUUUCACUAAUGUCGUGUGUGUUUUCAUGUGUCAAAAUUAUAAUUAUUGAUUUACUUCUAAAUAUGUAACGCACUACGAGCAUAAACUAUCGAAAUCGUACCAUUAUUAUAAAUCUAUUCUAAUCUAUGAGGCUUUUAAUUGAAAAUAUAAUAGAUUAUAUUGUAAUUCAAAAUAAAAACGUAUAAAUGUCAAAUAAUAAGUUAACAUACGAGUGCAGUAUCACACAAAUUUUUCUCGGUGCACGCAUUGCCAACUUGGAAAAUCUACUCAACUAAUACUUCCUUCUCUUUACUGUUGCAUUGAUUUUAAAAAGUUAAUUUUAGCGGUCUUGCUACAAUGCACCAGCUGCACCAUCUAACAAGUUUUACAUUGUCCUUAACAAAUUAUUCAUUCAUAAUCGUUGAUUCACUAUAUUAUUUUUAUACAUAACAUGUUUUUGUAAUACAUAUAGUAAAUUAUGUAUACAACGAAAAAGUUAUUAUCAAUUAAAAAAAAAAAUUACGGAUGUACGGUGCAGCAUGCUGCGCCAUAAUCACACACUAAAUUAUUAAAAUAAUGAAUAAAUUAAAAGAUAAAUAAAACGUACAUUUUAAAUAAAAUAUUUUAUUUUUUAAUGCAUUAAAAUAUGUGUUUUACAUACCUUUUAAAUUAUUUCUUAUUUUAAUAAUUUAAAAAAUCUUUCAUUCAAAAUUUAUUCUAUACAUAUAUUAAGUUGGCCCAUUUUGAUAACAUAAUAUUUACAUGCAUGAACUUGAUCACUAACACAUAUAUUACAUGAGUCGCACCUGAUGAAAAUUCCAUAUGAUAUAUAUUCAAGUGAUCCAGAUCGAUAGACAAAUUAAUUGUACCAUGUUACAGUUAAAAUUGGAAAAUAAUAGAUUGGUACAUCUUCCUUUUAUGUGGCAAAAUAAUAUAUAUAGUACAUUUUUCCUUUUACGUGGCCCUCAUGACGUCAAGGUAUAAAUCAUCAUGUGACAGUGAUUUAAUGUGGACAUCUAAUGGACCACCAAUAUAUUCAACACUGAAAGUUAAAUCAAUUUUUGUCUUUUAACAAUUGUUUGUCAACAAUUUAUGGUCCUAAUUUUAACAUAAUGUGAACGUUCAAAGAAGACAAAAUACUAGAGAAUUUAGCAACCUAUUUUUCCACGCGAGGACUCAAGCUCCCCCUCCAUUGCCUUUGCAUUUAUUUUUCAGUAAUAUCACUUUUUACUUUAUAUAUGAGAUUUUUAAAAGUAGAUUUAGUAUUCAGAUUGCGUAUAGAUAUCUAGAGUGCCAACGAACUAUAUAAGCUCUGCAUAAAGGAACUUUUUUUAUUCUAAGCUCUCUAGCUUUCAAUGGUCUUAUUCUACAUUUUAAUCGUAUAAUAAUAUUGUAUAAUUGAGAUUUAACUGUUAUUAUUAUAUUUUAACUUACUAACCACGAAUUAUUUACGUAAAAGUUACUCAAAAAGAACUCAUAUUAGGAGGGAAUAUGGUCAGUAAGUAACUAAAGUAUGCCACAACAAAAAAUGAUUUAGAUAUGCUAACGGUAAAUCUUAACUAAUGCUUGUACUACUUAUACAUGUACGUUUGUACUACCAAUGGUGAAGCCAGAAGUGUCCAGUCUGAGCAAGUACUACCUUAUUAAGUUAAUUUUCUCCCAAAACUUCAAUCCAGAAAGUGUGAGAAAUGACAAGCACCGUGCUUCAAUUUUCCCCUAAAAAAGAAACAAGCAAGAAAAGAAAAAGCACACGCUAUACUUUUUAGUUCAACUUCCUCGGUGCUUUAAAGCUCUUUGGGAGCUGCUGUCGAAGUGUACUCGGCAAAGGUUAGCCUGGGUCCAAUUGUUCUCAUUUGCAGGUCAGAUCUAAAAUUGGGUCAGCAAGAUAAUUGCAUAAUUGAACCCAAUUCAACCACCAUAAUUGUUUUAGAAAGACUGAUAUGCGUUUAUAAUUGGUUUUGGUAUAUCACCAUUGUUCAUAUUUCACCAUCAGUGUGACAGCAUUUUUUUUUUUAAGUAUAGUGAAUGAACAGAGAAAUUUGUCGGCAAGCUUAUCCCAACUCCUUGAUUGCUAGUUUAAGUGUCUAUUCACAUCAAUGAGCCAAUUGGAUUCAUCUCAUUACCGGUAUUUAAGGUCAAUUUUUUUAACUUAAAUCUAAUAUGUUAUUAUACAACUUAAACGAUAAUCCCAAGUUUUUUUAAACUUUUUACUUUUGUAUGAUCAAAUAAAAAUCAGUUAGGUUGCAGUAGCCGACACAAGAUAACUAAAAACAGAACAAAUUUCAUGAAAAGUUCAUAAAAAAAGUCUUUAAAAAUAAUUGCUUUAUACUAUGAAAAUAAAAAAAGAAAAGUGCUUCCCGCACAUUUUGAUGUGCUAUGAAAUAUCACAUAUACUUAAUUUUUUGUCUCAACUAGGGUUGGUAAUUUAUCGGGUCAAGCCGAGCCUGAAUCCGACCCUAUAACACAACUAAAUGGCCAUAAUCCUACAAAAAAAUCUUAUUGUUUCACUUUCUACCCGUCGGGCUUUAAAAAAGCCCGAACCCUACCAAUUUUUAAAUAACCAACUUUGAUAUCGUAAAUUUAGAUUUAUAUAAACAAAUGCAAAUCUACAACCUAUCUUAUUCUAACUAUUAAAAGUAAUGCUUUCCAUGAUUUUCAUAAGCAAUAUGAAAUUUGUAGUGUUUUGAUUGCCUCAAAAAAUCCCAACUAAUCAAACACUGCCCAAGAACUUUGUCAAGAUAAAUUCAAGUUGCAUAUGAAUCAAAUGACCAACCUUGAUGACUCAAUGAUUAACAAGAACCUAGUAAACGAAUUUUAGAGACCAGAAACACAAGUAUCAAGCUAAAUUAGCAACCAAAACACACAGAAAAGAAUACUGAUUUUACGUGGUUCAAUUGUGCAAAGAAGCACAAUCUACCAGAAUGAGUUUUUACUGAUGAUUCAAGUUGAAUUUAUAAAGCUUUUACAGAAUAGAUGACAAGAAAAGGGAAGACUCUCUCUCUGUCUCUUAAAUCUCUCUAGAACGCUCUUAAUUCCUCACUGAAACUGCCUCAACAAUCAGCUUUGUAUAACAGCCGAUAACAAACCGGAUUGCACCAGUUUCUGCCACGUGGAUAACGGCCUGCAACAAUCUUGAUUCCCCCUCACAUGCUUAAUCACGUGCAUGACUUAAGUCUGAGCCAAAACGUCUUCAUGUCUUGCCGGUUAUUAAGUGAGUCACACGUCCAUCACGUGACAGCUUGAAACAAAUUGAUAGGAAAAACGAUGCCGUUUCACAUGUCCAAGUUUUAAAUUCAGCAAAUUAGUCCACAAAAUUAAAGUUAUUUAUUUAUUUUUUAUCCAAGGACAACUCUUUGCUCAAACCAAAAACUCUUGAUCUUGAAUAUCUUUAUAAUCACAGAGAGCCACCUGAAGCUUGGCUGCUCAUCAGCCUCGCUUGGAUUCAACCACUUGAGAGGACACCAACAUCAGUUUUUGCAUCUGAUGCUCUGCCAAUAUUUCCCUCGUCAAUCCUUCUGCAUUGGAAGCAUAAAACAUUAAAGAAAACACUGAUAAUAAAAAAUUAAGUGACAAUUCAAAAUGUUAUACAGUUCAUGUUAAUUAUUAAACUCUAACAAGACAAGAAAGAAAUUAAGAACAUUAAUUGUGAAAAAAAGUGAAAUAUUGAUUCAAAAUUAUAGAUCUUAAUGUAUGAAGCUAUAAAGGAAGCGCCUAGAGGAUCUGUUUUGUGAUGAAAAUUUAAAAUUUAUGUUUUAAAAUAAUAAUAAUAUUUUGAAAAUUUGCACAUGUAAAAAAAUAUAGAAAUGUGUGAAUAUGUUUUCAUUUAGGUGGUAAUUUUGCUCGCCUAAUCAUAAUUCUUUUUGAUGUUGUCUGAAAAUAAAAAAAAUAAUUGAAUAUUAUUUAGAGAUAUAUACUAAAUAAUUUAUUAAAAAAAGUUUACAAUCUAUAUACAAAUUAUGAUCUAUAAUUUAAUGAGAUUCUGUAUAAUUGCACUUUAAAUUUAUAGUACAAUCCAGAAGUUUUUCGAAAAUUAACUUAGAAAUCUACUCUCAUAAAUAUACAAAAAGAUAUGUACGAUAUUUUAAAUUAAAAAUAUAAUAUUAUAAUUCAUUAUUAAUUUGGUUUGUAUUAAUGGGAAUCUUCCUUGCAUUCUUCUUUUAGUUGUGCCAAGGAUAUCCUUGAAAAGGAAAUGCUUCCUCAUGUUCCUAUGACUGAAUUCUCUAGAACUAAGAAAGCUUAUUAUUUUGGGUAACUAUAAUCCUUCUAUAUAUUAUCAUUGUCAUUACUUUAGAGUAGUUACAGUUCUUAUUGAUCCUUUCUUCAGCUAUAUUAAUUAUACAUCGGCUUCUUCUUUGUGCAUUUGGCCGGUGGGUUAAAGAUGAUAGAUAUCAUUAUGGCAACAAGAGGUUGGACCUUGCUGGUUCAUUACUUAGAAGGCUUGUUUAGGAUGGUUUGUUUCAUUUUUGUGUUGAGGUAGUUGACUUUACUUGUGAUCAUACGAAUGAAGAUGUAUCUCUUUUCUUUUAACACCCCACUUUUAUAACUAAAAUAAGAUGAUGUAUUUUAAAAUAUUUAAAAUCUCAAUAUUUUUUUAAUAUAAAUACGGAUAAUUAAAAAUUUUACAUGAUAAGCAGAAACUUCAUUACAAAAUAUAAGAGACACAUAGAGAUUCCUUAGUAUAUAUUUCAAAACUUCGUUAUUAUGUAAGAGAAUUUAAGAUAUUUAUUUUUUAUAACAACACGACUAAGCCCAUCACAGUCCAACGGUUUGACAUGCCCAUAUGCAUUUCAUCUUGGUUGGGACUUGGCUUCAGCUUGAUCUACUCAUUAUUACUUGCAAUGUAAGGAUUGCAUGAGCCAAUACCUAGUAAGAUAACAUGCAAGUAUAAAUUGUUAUGCACAUGGAUGAGCUUAUGAACAUUAAAUAUCUAAAAGAAACAUAGAAAUAUAAAACAACUUUGUUAGGGCCCUACGUACAUUGCACGACAAGGUUGGCAAUUUUCAUUCUUUAAAAUAGCAUCCCCUUAGGCCUAAAUUAAUAAUUGAUCUUUGGGCAUUGCAUAUCGCCGUCCCCAAAAGAUUACUCUUUAUUUAGCUUUGAGGGCUUGCCCUUCUUGGAUAUUUUACCACCCUAGUAGUACAACAAUCCAUUGUUCAAGACUCAUUUUUUAAAAUGUCUUCUUUGUAAAGUAAUCUUAACAUAUUAACAUGAAAUGCAUGUGUUCAAUGCAACCUAUAUCAUGACAUGUAAUGUUCCUAGAUAUAUAACAAAGCCAACCAUACAAAGUUUUCUAAAGACAACAAUCUUUAGUAUAGGCAGCAGUGCCGUCCAUAUAAAGAUUAAAUAAAAAACGUUAUUAUAAUAUAGAUGGGAGAGUGGACUAGGGGUGGCAAAAUAACCUAGACCCAGCCCGGACCCGGAUGAACCCAGAUUAUCCGGUGCGGGUUGAACCCGGUCCAGAGAUAAAAAUAAUGCGGAUCCGGAAUUCAUUUUAUAAACCCGGACAUAUCCGGGUUCGGAUCCAGGUUUACGUAAACCCAGAUCUCCGAAACCCGGACCCGGAUAUCUUUAUUUUAAAAUUUAUUAAAUAAUUAAUUUUAAGUUAUUAAAUCUAAAUAUAAAAGUAAAAAAAAAAAGGAAAAGAAAAGAAACCCUAAAACAAACUGCAGUAGCAGCAGCCCUAUUUCUCCUCUUCUCUCACCUUCUUCAAUCUUCACGCCACAAAGCCCAAAUUCAGCAUCGUCAAUUUGUCAUCAUCCUUGUUAAUAUUCAAGUAAUUCCCAAGCAUCAUCAUCAACAGCUCAUCAUCAACCUCAAUAUUCAAUUCAUCCCGUCACCAUUCUUCUUCAUCAAUUUGUCGUGUCGCCGUCCAUGAUUCACCAUCGUCUUCAUCGCGUCACCAUUCAUCUUGAUUACAUCAUCAACAUACAUGCUUCUUGGGAAUUAAUAGUGCUCUGAGGUGAUAUUAACAUAUGUGGGUCAGCUUUUAUCUCUAAAUCAUGAUUCAUUUCAAUUCAUUUAUAUUCAAGUUGUCUCGAUUGUAAAGAAUCUAUAAUCUUUUAAUUCAUUGGUGCUUGCGAUUUGAACUCUUUCUAGAAUUUUUCAUAACCUGAAACGGGUUUCUGUUUUUCAGUUCAUUUAGUUAUCCGGGUUUAAACCUGACAUCCGGAAACCCGAAUUUCUCCGAGUUGAACCCGCACCGGACCCGGAGCCAAAAAAUCCGGGUUUAUAUCCGGAUCCGAAAUGCAAAAUUGUCAUCCGGGUCCGAAACCGGGAAGGCUAAACCCGGACCUGGACCCAGAUUUUGCCAUCCCUAGAGUGGACCAUAUCAUAAUUAAAUAAAAAUAUCACAGUAUAGGCGGCAUAGCCAACCAUAUAAAAAUUAAAUGAGAAAAUAUGAAAAUAUAGGCGGCAUAGCUGACCAUAUAAGGAUUAAAUAAGAAAAUAUCAAAUAUAGGUGGCAUAGCCAACCAUAUAAAGAUUAAACAAUAAAUAAUCACAUCAUAGUAGUCAUCAUAAGAUAAAAAAAUAAUUAAAGAUGAAUUUAAGUAUGGAAAGAACAUUAUCCGUAAACUACAGUUGAAGUGUUACUUACCUCUUAAUUUUGACUUCUCUAGGCCCUCAUAAUUUGAGGAUUUAUCUAUUGUUUGAUGUUAUUACUUAGAAUAGAAGAGGACAGAAUUUCUAAAGUGAUAUAGAAAAUGAAAGGGCUAGGGGUACUUAUAGGAUUUCCUAAAGCUAAUGGAUGGUUAAGAUUUUACCACUAUAACUUUUGAUUAAUGGUUGAGAUUUAUCCUUCCAUAAAUAUCUUUGUAAAUUCUAGAAUUUAUAAAUAUUUUAUAGAUAUCUUGUUGCAUAAUUACUUAUGUCAUCACUUAUGUCAUCAUGACUCUAGAGUUUUCUAUCAUAAAUAUUUUCUAUUAUUAUUAUUUUAAUAGGUAAGGGGAUUUAUUAGCCUAAAAAUUAAUUCUACUAUAUUCAAAUGAGAAAUUUAUAUCUCACAAUUGCCUCCCCAUUAAGAAAAUUUUAUGCUCGAAAUUGAUUUAUUGAAUAGCUCAGGAUACUUAUUCUUUAUAUUUUCUUCACGUUCCCAUGUUGCCUCCCCCAUCGAGCUAUUUCGUCAUAGUAUUUUAACUAGAAAAAUCUUCUUGUUUUUUAUCUCCUUUAUCUUUCUAUCAAAUACUUGGAUUGGACGUUCUCCAUAGGUUAAGUUUUCUCCUAGUUGAAAAGCCUUAUAAUCUAGCACGUGAGAGGGGGUCUGUAACAUAUUUCUUUAACAUAAAGAUAUGAAAAGACAUUGUGUAUCCUUGACAAUGGUAGAAGAGCAAGUCGGUACGAAACGUUCUUGACAUAUUCAAGUAUUUCAAAUGGUCCAAUAAACCUCGAAAUUAAAUUUCCUUUUACAAAUACCUUAUCACCAACUUGAAAUUCUGAAGGCCUUAAGCUCUUAUCUACAUGACUUUUCUGUUAACUUUGAGCUGCCUAUAUUCUUGGACGUAUUUUCUCGAUCGCCUUAGAUGAGACAACAAUGAGGCCGGGCCCAAGCUACCUUUGCUCGCCCAUUUCAUUCCAAUGAAUAGGUGACCUACAUUUUUUACCAUAUAGAGUUUCGUAGAGUGCCAUGCCGAUUAUUGCUUGAUAGCUAUUAUUGUAGGCAAAUGCAACCAAAGGUAGAUAUUUGCUCUAUGAUAUUUGAAAGUCGAUAGUGCAUCCCCGUAAUAUAUCUUCUAGUGUCUAGAUCGUUGUUUCUAACAGACCAUUUGUUUGAGGGUAAAAUGUUGUACUAAAUUUUAAUUUUGUUCUCAUAGCUCUAUGUAACUUUUCCUAAAAUGUUGAGGUGAACCUUGUAUCUCGAUCAAAGAUAAUAGAAAUAGGUACACCAUAUAGUCUUACUAUCUCCUUUAUGUAUAUUUCUGCAAAUUGGUUUAUAGUGCACGUCAUUCAAAUAGGUAAAAAGUGGGCAGACUUUAUGAGUCAAUUGACGAUCAGCCAAAUGGCAUCAUGCAUUUCUUUUUCAAUUUUUUUAUUACUGUUGGUAUUUAUGCAAUUUUUGAGAAAGUUAAACUGGAAUGUGAGAGCUUAUGUGAAGAAGGUUCUAAGUAUUUGUUGCUUUCUUUCUUUUUUCCUUUUUGUUUGAUUUUGAAUCACUUUUUUUCAUUUCUUCUGGUUUGCACUCAUGCAGUUCAUCCAUUUUGUAAAUGUUGGAUAAGGAUCUAUAUGUUAAUUUGCAAUAUGCUAUUUUAGCUAAAACAAUUACCCAUGGUAUAAAGUAUUCUUUGGCUAUCGGUAAUUAGGGCCAGUUAGAUGCGUUUAUUACAAGAACAAAAGUGUCAAAGAUUUUUUUAUUUUUGAUCCAUUUGAAUACAUGAUAGUUUUUUUUGCUCACUCAAUUUCUACUUUGUAGCAUUCCUUGUAGUAUACCUUUUGAUUACAUUGAUCUUGUGGUCUUUCACAAAUGUUGAAUUACAUGACAUGCGCCGCUACCUUGUCGCAUUUGCGAACACUGUGUUCUCCCAUAGGGCAAAAAGGUAAACUACUUAUUGUUGUGCAUGAUUUUGUUUUAUUGAGGGUUCAUUCAUGCUUAGUUUUGUUUUUCUUUUAUGCAUCACCAUGUUGUUAUUUUGUUAAUUUGUUGCAUAUAAUUAAUUGUUUUCACUUUAUUUUUCUAAAGAAGUUUUCAUUUACUAGGUACACAAGUAAAACCUAAGCUGGCACAUAAUACACAAUGGGGUAAGAUUUGUUCCUUUCCAACACUUUUAGGACAAGUAAGUUAAAAUUGUGCUUAUAGGAUAUAUCUAUAAUAUCUAUUUCUGAUUGUAGCUUACAAGAAUUUGUUUUGGUUAAUCCAGGCCUGUGGACUAGUGAAGAAUCUUGCUUUGAUAGUCAAUGUAACCCUCAGCUCAUUAGUAUUUCCCAUUAAUGAGUUAUUAGAAUAUGAGCCAAUAGUAGAAGCCAAGGUGCAUUUUGUAAUUUAUGGCACUUAGACGUUAAUUAUACAUAUUUCAUUUAUGGCAUUUAUACGUUAAUUAUACAUAUUUCAUUCACAUUAUUUCAAUUUUCUCUUAAUUGUAGGAUGCUACUGCAAACUUUUUUCUACAAGCUACAAAAAUUUUUGUCAAUGGUUGCUGGGUGUCAUGCAUGAUGUUGGUUCAUUGGUCCAAGCUUUGAGACACUUGAAAAGAAAUGUCAUUAUACUUGUAUUUCAUCUAUUCGUAAAGAAACCUCUGUAUUAAAAGUUGGCAAACCUAUUGGUGUACUCUAAACUUUCUUUAGUAUUAUUUAUGCCAUGUCUGAACUAUUUUGUUUGUCUACCCAUGUACAAGACUUUAUAAAUGCUGCAAUUGGGGUUUCUAGGGAUAUCCAUUCAAAAGAAUUUUGUAUUGAUUUUGGUCGUUGUUGUCGUCCAUUGGUUAUUGUCCAGAAUCAAAGGCUUCUUAAAAAGAAGAAAGAUAUUGACGCCUUCUAUGACAAGGUUAGCCAAAUAGUUCUCUCUCUCUUUUUUAUUAAUGAUUUGUCUUUUCUGUAGUUACAUGACUUUUAUCUUGUUAAUCUUCUAGAAAUCUUCCGAAGAUGGUUGUUGGUGUGACCUUUCUAAAAAAGGGUUUAUAGAAUAUAUUGAUCCAUAAGAAGAAGAAACCAUAAUGAUUUGCAAGACAAUCAAUGUGAAUAAAAUGGUAUUGGUUGGUCGAAAACCUGUUAUCGUGAGACGUAAUUUUUAACUUGCUAAAAAUUUGAUUAACACAAAUUUGUUUCAGGAACUUGUAAAUGCAAAGCUUCGUCCAGAGGAGGCUACUUCUAAUGCAUACACGCAUUAUAAGAUUCAUCCAUCCUUGAUAUUGGGAGCUUAUGCUUCAAUUAUACCAUUUCCCGACCAUAAUCAGGUGCGUCAUGCUUAUGACAUUUCUCAGGUAAAAUAUGUUUAUAUAUUGACUCAAUCUCACCAAUUUUUUUUUUUCUUUUUCUUGAUGGGGUUUGCUUUUAGUCCCCAUGUAAUACGUUUCAAGCUGUAAUGAGCAAGUAAGCAAUUGGAAUCUAUGCUACAAACUACCGAUGACAUAUGAUACUGUAUUUGGUUUCAAUUUUUUUGUGAUUGGAAGCUCAUAUUCAGCAUGUCAUAUAUAAUGAUAUUAUUUUUCCUUUAUAUGAAUUAGGAUGCUUUAGCCUAUGUUCUUUACUACCCUUAGAAACCACUACUUGCUGGGAAGCCAUAAAAUCGCUUCAAGUUAACCAACUUCCUACUGGUGUGGUGAGUAUAUAAUUUAAUGCUGCGUUAUUGUUGCUCCUUAUGAUCAUAGUUUUCUUAUAAUCUUUUUGUCUAUGUUAUUUGGCAUUAGAAUGCAAUAGUCACUAUUGCCUGUUAUGAUGGCUAUCAUCAAGGAAGUUCUGUUGUUAUGAACCAGUCAUCUAUGGAUUAAGGAUUAUUUCGAUCUCUUUUCCUUCCAUACAUCUAGGUAAGCUGUUGUUGAGACAUUUUGUAUCUUAAUUAACACGACUCAAAAGUAUUGAUUACUUCUGAGUAUAAGAGUGUCUAAUUAUAAUAUAAUCUAGUGAGUUGGGGUUGAUCCACAAGGAAUCUAUAAAUCUAGUAGUCAUUAUUAAAAGGGAUAUUAUCAUUUUAUUAUUAAAGUUAUUCUGACAUAUCAUGUCAAUACCAUGAUUUGCCGAAAAGUGUAUUUUACUACCAAACAUUUGUGCGUUAUCAAUUCACUACUAUUCCCUUAAGAAUUUUAUGCAGUGUCCUUUGGGCCAGAGGUUUCAGCUGCGAUCCAAGAGAUUCUAAACUCUAAUUUGUUGUCGUCUGACUUCUUUUGUUCAUGGAUUUUAGAUAAAACUUCUGCGCUAAGUCUUGUUCAAAGUAUAAGUAUAAGUAUAGAAUUGAACUUGAUUCUGACUGAUUCCAUUGUUAAAAUGCAUGAGUUGUGUGGCUACUGGCUACUCUCCACUGAUGGUUUGCUGUCAUUGUACUUGUGCGUCAAAGAAGGCUUUCUUAAUAUUGUUGAGGAAAAUGUUGUCAGGUAAGGCUAAUCUGUUCACAUCUUGAAAUAAUUAUUUGAUGGUGAAUAUUUGUUAAAGUUAUCUAUUUUCUUUAUUUCUUAUGAUGAAGUAGAUUUGAUGUUGAGAAGAAAAAUAUUAGUGUUCAAUUGUGUGUUGAGUGAGUGGUUUAAAUGAGUAUUAAGAGUAAUUAAAAAUUAUAUAGUAAUAUUAAAUUGUUCAUAAUAUUAGUUUAACGAAAGACUUCUUAAUUUUUUUAAUAAAAUAUAGUGUUCAAAGUGUAUUUUAUCAAUAAUGUUGACAUUCCUACAUUUGAGUCUUAAUUUUAUGUGUCACUUGUUCAUUAAAUAAUAUAUUUUAUCAUUUAUAAAAUUAUUAUUUUAUUAUACAAUAAAUAAAUGACCAUCAAUUAGGACUAAAUUGAAACAUAAAUGUUGAAUAUUACGUUUUGUUAAUGUUAAAGUGUAAUGGUCAUGUUAUGUAGCAAAAAUUCAUGUAUUUAUUUUUUAUUUAUUUUAUAAAAAUUCAGUUUUUCAUAUACAUAGAAGUUAGUAAAUUGAAAUUGUUUCUAUUAAACUGUUGAAGUGCAGGUGUGCAUUUGCUAUAUAUAUGAUUUUUCAGAAUCUUUUAGUUAAAAAAAAAAAAAAAAAACUCGUACUUGAUAGGUAAUUAACUAGGAAAAAUAAAUAAAGAAGAAAGGUGGCAACUUAAGUGUAAUUUCAUUAAAAAUAAUGGAUAAAAUAUAUAAUUAAAUAUUUUGUUGAUAAUGAGACAAAAAGUUAUUUUAUGUGAUUUGAAGAAACAAAAGAGUAAUGGACACAUGUCUAAUGUACAAAGAGUAGGCGAGUAAGUCGCACUGACCGUAACACUGUUUAUAUAUACUGUUGUGGACCCGCCUGAGUUACAGUUCACGUAACACUACUCGACUUUUCUGGCUUCUUAAUGUAAACUAUCGUUGACCUCCUUGUACUUUAUAUUAUUAAUAAUCUAUUCAUAAGUAUAUAAACUUUUCUGUAUUGUAAACUUUUGUUGAGCUCCUUGCACUUUAUUUUAUUUUAUUGAAACCCUUAUAGUAUCAAAUUCGCCCCUAUAAUUUUUAAAUUCCCAAAAUACCCUCUAUUUACUUAAAAAUAUAAUAAUUAUUAAAUGUGUUAUUAUUAUAAUUAUAAUAAUUAUUUUAUUAUAAUUAUCAAUAUCAUUAUAAUUUUUAAAUAGAUUAUUAUUAUUAUUAUUAUCAUUAUUAACAAGAAUAAAAGUAUUAUAAUUAAUUAAUCUAUUAACGAUAAUUAAUAAUAAUUUUUUAGUUAAAUUAAUAAUAAUAAUAAUAAUAAUAAUAAUAAUAAUUAAAAAUAAUAAUAAUUAUUAAUUAAUUUUGAAUAAUAAUAAUAAUCAAAAUAAUUAAAAUAUAAAAUAAUAAUUAUGAUAAAAAUUAAUUAAGAAUUUUAUAGUAAUUUGUUACAAUUUAACUCAUUCCGAUUUUGAUUCUAAAACAAAGUAAAUACAUAAAUAGUAAUACAAUUCAUUCUAAUUAUGAUUCCUCCAGUUCAAGUAAAUAAAUUAUUUUGAUUCCAAUUUCUCAUUUUGAUUCUAUCUAUUCCAAUUUUAACUCAUUAUGUUUUCAGCCAAUUUUGAUUCCUAUUUAGUGAAUGCACUAUAAAAUUGUAAACCACUCUAUAUUCAACUAGACCACUCUAUAUUAUUUACAAUUUAUUCAUAAGUAUUAUGAAACUUUCUUCUUACCUAUACUAUAAAAAUUCAAUUUAUCUCCCUACACUCUUUUUCAUUUACCAUUUUUUUAUAAGUGUCAAAAGAGUGUUUACAACCAUGACACAUUAGUUAUCAUAGCACACUAAUAUUAAUAAAAAGUUUUUUAAGAAUAUUACCAUUAAUCUUUUAUAUAAUAUAUUCUCAUAAUAAUUAAUACUUUCAUGAUAAAAGGAUUAACAAAAUAAAAAGCAAAUUCCCUUUGAAUCCAUCCCUCUCCACCAUUAACUUCUCUUUAUCAGCAACCUUCAUCGAUAAUUGAAGUCACCAUUAGACUCAUCAAAGAGAAAGAGAGUACGAGAGGGGAAGAAGAAAUGGGAAAAAAAUAUGAGAUGUUCACAAUUUUAUAGUGCAUUCAUUAAGCAAGAAUCAAAAUUAGCUGGAAAAAUAAUGAGUUAUGAUCGAAAUGAGGAAUUGGAAUCAGAAUAAUUUAUUUACUUAAACUGCAGGAAUCAUAAUUAGAAUGAGCUGUAUUACCAUUUAUGCGUUUAUUUUGUCUUAGAAUUAAAAUCGGAAUGAAUUAAAAAAAUUACUAUAAAAUUCUUAAUUAAUUUUUAUCAUAAUUAUUAUUUUUUAUUUUAAUUAUUGUGAUUAUUAUUAUUAUUUAAAAAUUAAUUAAUUAAUAAUAAUUAUUUUUAAUUAUUAUUAUUAUUAACAAUUUAACUAAAAAAUUAUUAUUAGUUAUUGUUAAUAGAUUAAUUACUUAUAAUACUUUUAUUCUUGUUAAUAAUAAUAAUAAUAAUAAUAAUCAUCAUCAUCAUCAUCCAUUUAAAAAAUAUAAUUAUAAUCUAUUUAAUAAUUAUUAUAUUUUUUUAAUUAAAUGGAUGGUAUUUUGGAAAUUUAAAAAUUAUAGGGGCAUAUUUGAUACUCUAAAGGUUCUAGUUAAAUAAAACAGAGUAUAAGGGGUUCACCGAAAUUUUAUAAUGAAGAAAGUUUCAUAUACUUAUAAAUAAAUUAUAAAUAAUAUUGAGACAAAGGGGUUCAAAGAUAGUUUACAUCAAGAAGUCAGAAAAGACAAAGACAAAGCAGCUGCAGGUUACGUGAACGGUAACUUAGGCGGGUCCACUUUAAAGUUACGGUCACGGUCUUAUGUACUUUAUUCACAAAGAGCAGUGUUUUUUUUUUUUUUAAUACUGAUUAAUCAUCAGAUUAUUGUAUUACACAGAUAUUUACAAUAAUUACUAUUGUAACAGAGAUAUUAUACUGAUAUUUACAAUCAGAUAUACAUGAUUGAGACUUACAUUAUUACAUUGAAUUCUAUGAAGUACAUGCCCAGACAAAUAACCCCUCACAAGAGAGGAAUGUCCAUACUCUACUUACAUUUCGCAAGAGAAAAUAAUUUUUAAAUAUAAAGAAUAUUUAGCCCCCACAAUGCUUUUGUGGGGGCUAGAACCGCUGCCCUCACAAUACUUGUUUGGUGCUUCUCCACACCUAACACUGCUCUACACCUAACACAAAGAGCAGUGUUAGGUGUAAAGAAGCACGAGAAAAAAAUGAGAGAAUUUUAUUAUCUCUCUAUCCACUCAUUCACUCUCUAUCAUUUUCUUCUUUAUUUCUCUCGUUUUUCUCUCGUACUUCUCUUCACCAAGCAUUUUCCAUUCACAAAAGGGGCACUGAAUUAUUUAAUUUUGUAGGGCAGCUGCAGCUUGCUGAGUCCACACGGUGUUCAAUCUUAUCAAUUCCUCUGAGGCUCUGGACUUCUUGUUUCCAUAAUUCAACAAUUUUUUUUUGUUCUGCAUGCUCUCUCUUUCCCAUUUGAUCCGGUUUCCCAUGGCAGAGCUCUUACUCUCAGCUUUCUUUGGCAAGCUGGCUUCCCGUGAUUUGAUUAACUGAGGAGGGGUUGAUUCUGAGCUGAAGAAGUUUGAAAACACUUUGAAGAUGAUUCAGGCUGUCCUGAGGGACGCAGUGGAGAAGGAACUAACGAGUGAGACUGUGAAAUUGUGGCUGGACAAUCUCCCUAACUUGGCUUAUGAUGCUGAGGGCAUACUGGACUAGUUCGAUACUGAAGCUUUGGGGCUUGUAAAUUAAAGAACCUAGUCCCUUCUUGUUUCAACAUUUCCGGUGGUUUCAACAGCUUCCGUAUGCUUUCCAAUACCUGGAGAAUUUGAAGCUCGGGCACUUAUGCUCCCAAGCCUUUAAAUCCCACAAACAUAUUCGGGGAAUUAGUGCAUGACAUUCAUUUGUGGUCUCCAAAAACAGGUUGAUGCCGGGGCGUUGAUACCGAACACCUCUGCAAUUUGGAAGCAGGGAAAUUAUUUUUUUGACACACAAGCUUCAAACUGUUAAAGCUCUACCCUGCAGGAAUGCUGUAUAUAUCAAAUUCCAAAAACAAAUUAGAAUUGCUGCUUCCUGUGAGGCACCAUACCAAGAUCUGCUUUUGUAUUCAUUCAAUCAGAUCAAUCAUAUGGAUUGUCAACUUUCAAGGUUACGAUGGACUAUGAGUGAACAGAGGAGUUGGAAGAAGAAUUAUUAAGAACAGAGCAAAAACUGAGAAUCAGAUAGAGGAAGUUGGCAAUCAUUGAAGAAGAGGCAGCCUACAUUGCUUUAGUUAAUGAUGAAAACUGUCAAGAUGCUCUUAGUUUGUAUGUUAAUAUGAUUGAAGUAUGGGAGAAAGUACAUUUGUCUAAUUUUUUUGACUUUAUUGACCCCCCCCCCCCCCCCCCCCCCCCCCCCCCAAAAAAAAAAAAACUCAAUCUUCAAAUCAAAAUCUCAUCUUCGAACCAACUUGAUAACAAAAUAUUAUUAUUGUUUGUUACUACUUGACAAGAAAUUGCUAAAAUGUUUAUUCAUUACGAAAAGUGUUGAACCAAGAUCAGAAAAUGACCAAUCUUGUUGCCACAAGACCUCACUAAACUCUCUGAUUAUUCACCAAGGGACAAAAGAAAUUAACAAUUGAAACAAACAGAAACGGAAUCAAAGAAAGAGCACACACAACAAUUAUAGAGGACUCAGGCAAAAAGGCUUUAUUGCCAUUUUUGGAGAAUAUAGUUAAUCCACUUGCGUUGCACGUGCAUUAGCUGAAUCAAAAGGCAUUAUGGCCGUUACAAGAAGCGGGAAAGAUGUGUCUGGUAAGUGAGGGAUCUUUCCAUGUCAAUUGCGAGCUGUAUACAAAGCCUUUGAGGCUGGAGUUGGGUUUCUUCUGUAGCUUGUAAAAAUUUCUUCACCGCUGUAAUUUGUUCUUGAUUGAGAGGACGUUGGUUGGUGAUUGCACGUGCCUCGCAGGCGAGUCACUUAUCGCACACAGCUGACAUAUGAUCGUUGUCGUACGCAUCAUGUAUAAGACAACCGACAUGGCAUCCAGAAACGACGGUACAACUAGAGUUGGCAAAACGGGUCAUCGGGUCGUGUUCGUAUCGUGUCAGCUUCGUGUCGUGUCAAAUUUAGGUCCACCUAAACCCGACCCAUUUAAUAAUCGUGUCAAAAUAUUGAUACCCAAACCCGACACGGAAAAAUAAUCGAGUUACCCAAUAACCCACUUAAUAUCUAUAAAUUAAACAAAAAUUACAUUAAAUAUUUACAUAUUGUCAUACAUACGUAUGUACAUACAUACAUACAUCCAUACAUACAUACAUAAUUUAUCGAUAUUAUAAAAUAUACAUAUCUACUAAAAUAUUACAUACACUAUUGAGGUUUUAAUUAUAUAUAUGUAAAUAAUAUUAUAUAUCAAUAUUAUAAAAUAUAUAUGUCUACCAAUAUUUUAUACAUUUACAUUAUUAAAGCUCUAAAUAUAUUUAAAAUUUUAUAAAUAAAAUAUUGUGUCUAUAUUCAUCCUUUUAAAGAAUAAAAAUAAAAAAGAAAAUUAUUUCUAAUAUUUGAGUUUUGAUGAUAAGAAUAUGUAAAUUAUUUUAAAAUAGAAAAUAUAAUCAGGUCAUUGAUCAGAUAAAUGGGUCAAGAAUUUUAAUCAUAACCUGAUACGAAAAACAAUCGUGUUGACCAAGAUCCAAUUCAUUUAAUAAUCAUAUUAAAUUUGACAAUUCAUACUUAUUUAUCGGUGUCAUACUCGUGUCGAGUAAUCGGAUCUGAUCAAAUUUUAUCAGCUCUAGGUUCAGCGACUUUUAUUUUCAUAAACAGACUUUUUGUCUUCUGCCCUUUUUUAUUUUUGCCCUUUUCUAACUUUUUUUUUUGUCCUUUUUUAACUAACAAUUAGUAAUACUACCAAUUACAUGUGACAACUGUAAGGAGUUCAUUGUCAACAAAAUAAUUAAGUCCAGAGAUUUGUUGUACCAUACUUGACAAAAUUCAACAGUCUAAUAAAUGCUGAAAAGUGGAAACGGAACAAUUGCAGAGCGCCGGUGGAGCUCACCCGGCUAGAAGAUUAACAAAUUUCCUCCAUUAUUGUAGCCUAAAGACUUUUGAAGGCUAGAGACUUGUUCCGAAAUUUCAGCAUCCAUUUAGAUCGAGUAAAAACCAUCUUUCUCGGACGAUUACGAAGCAAUGGCUGUUGAAGAGCUCUUACUGUCUGCUUUCUUUCAAGUGUUGUUUGACAGAUUGGCUUCUGGUGAUUUUCUCACCUUUGUGGGUCAACUUCGAGGCGGGCUGGAUUCCGAGCUCAAAAAGUGGGAAAAAACUUUGAUAAUGAUACAGGCUGUGCUCAGUGAUGCAGAGGAGAAGCAACUGACGGACAGGGCUGUGAAGAUCUGGCUCGAUGAUCUCCGAGACUUGGCUUAUGACGCAGAGGACAUUCUUGAUGAGUUUGCUACUGAAGCUUUGAAUCAGAAGACGAUGGCAGAAAAUUCGAACCACAGUCCUGCUUGUUUCAACUGUUUUAGUCCAAGUUCUGUCAAGUUUAAAAUCGACAUGGAUUCCAAGAUUAAAAGUAUCACUAGCAGGUUGGAUGAACUAUGUGCUAAAAGAAUUGUACUUGGAUUGCAAUUGAUUCCUGGAGGGAUAUCAAAUGCCUGGAAGCGAAGACCGCCGAGUUCAAGUGUGCCAACGGAACGGGCUGUCUACGGCAGAGAUGAGGAUAAGGCCAGAAUACUUGAAAUGGUGUUAAGUGAUGAUCCAACCGCUGACGCCAACUUUCGUGUAAUACCAAUUGUCGGCAUGGCAGGGGCUGGAAAAACAACGCUUGCUCGGGAGGUCUACAAUGACAGGGCUGUGCAAAAUUUCAAGUUUGAUGUGAAAGCAUGGGUUUGUGUUUCUGAUGAUUUUGAUGUUGUUAGCAUUUCGAGGGCUCUUCUCGAGUCAAUCACCUCCACAACUUGUGAUGUCAAGACGUUGAAUGAGGUGCAGGUUAAAUUAAAAAUUGCUGUGGAUGGAAAAAGGUUCUUGCUAGUAUUGGAUGACGUUUGGAAUGAGAACUACAACUUGUGGGAAAUCCUGAAAGCUCCCUUCAUGGCUGGUGCACCAAAUAGCAAAAUAAUUGUCACGACACGUCAUUCAAAUGUUGCAUCGACGAUGGGAUCGGUUGAACAUUAUAAUCUUAAGCUUCUGUCAGAUGAAGAUUGCUGGUCUGUUUUUGUGAAGCAUGCGUUUGAGAGUAGAGAUGCCGGUGCUCAUCAAUUUUCAGAAUUAUUUCGUAAGAAAAUUGUGGCAAAGUGCGGAGGCUUACCGUUGGCAGCAAGCACUCUUGGCGGCCUUUUACGCACUAGGCAUACUGAUGAUGCGUGGGAGGAUAUAUUGAGCAGCAAAAUGUGGGAUUUGCCUCAACAAACUGACAUUCUCCCCGUGUUAAGGUUGAGUUACCAUUAUCUUCCUUCUCAUUUGAAGAGAUGUUUCAGUUAUUGUGCAAUUUUCCCCAAAGAUUAUGAGUUCGAGAAGAAUGAACUUGUUUUUCUGUGGAUGGCUGAGGGUAUGAUUCAACAAUCAAGGACAGACAAACAAUUGGAAGAUUUGGGCAACGAUUUUUUUUGGGAUCUAUUGUCUAGGUCACUUUUCCAACAAUCAAGCAGAGAUGGUUGUAAAUUUGUGAUGCACGAUCUAGUCCAUGAUUUAGCUCAAUUGGUUUCUGGAGAAACAAGUUUCUGGUUGGAGGAGGCAAGUAAGCAGUUAAGAACAUUCAAAAGGAUUCGUCAUUUUUCUUAUCCUUGUGCUUAUGAAGAAGUAAAAGCCAAAUUUGAGGGUUUGGAUAAAGCCGCAGGUCUGCGGACAUUUUUGCCUCUCAAAGUAAGAUCAUCUUAUUGUUUUAUAACCAACACGGUUCUUCUUGACUUGCUGCCAAAGCUCAAAAAGUUGAGGGUGCUAUCUUUAGAAGGAUACUACAUUGCUCAUUUACCUAAUUCUAUCAAAGAUUUGAAACUUCUAAGGUAUCUCAAUCUUUCUUGUACACUGAUCGAAAGUUUACCUGAGUCAAUAAAUUCACUGUUCAACUUGCAGUUUUUGGUGUUAAGAGGCUGUGAUCGUCUACAGAAGUUGCCUUCCAACUUGAGAAAUUUGAUUAAUUUGCAUCUUCUAGAUAUAAGGGGUGCACAUUUAUUAACAGCGAUGCCAUCGGGAAUGAAGAGAUUGAAAUAUCUGCAUACGUUGUCUGAUUUUAUUGUGGGUAAGGGUAUCGUAUCUGGCUUGAAAGAUUUGAAAAGUUUAACUUUCCUCUGUGGAAAACUUUGUAUUUGGAGAUUAGAAAAUGCGAAUAAUUCAUGGGAAGCAAGAGAAGCUUCAUUGUGCGAUAAGAAGUGUCUGGAGGCAUUGUCAUUAAAAUGGGGCUGUCCUUAUCAGUCACGAAACGUUAAUGAUCAGGGAGCAGAAGAAAAUGUACUUGACAUGUUGCAGCCACAUAAAAAUAUAAAGAAGCUAGAAAUCAUGCAGUAUGGUGGCAGAAGAUUUCCUACAUGGUUAGGGGACCCAUCAUUCUCUAACAUGGUUGCUUUAAAAUUGAUAGGAUGUAAAAAUUGCACAUCCUUACCUGCUGUGGGGCAGUUGGUUUCCCUGAAAGAGCUUACAAUUGAAAGAAUGCUUGUACUCAGAAGUAUAGGGUCUGAAUUUUGUGGAAAGAAUUGCUCAAAGCCUUUCCAAUCCUUAGAGACUCUUUGCUUUAGUGGUUUGCCAGAAUGGGAGUUCUGGGAUACUGGCAACCAGACUGGGUGUAUUGAAAUAUUUCCUUGCCUCGUUGAACUGUCCAUUUUGGGAUGCCCCAAACUAUCUGGAAAAUUACCGGACCAUCUUCCUGCAUUGGAGACCCUUGUUGUCAGAUA
RNAcentral lists this long non-coding RNA (53546 nucleotides) under Citrus maxima (pomelo). Its description in RNAcentral is "long non-coding RNA (CMAX_LNC000692)". Lineage: Eukaryota; Viridiplantae; Streptophyta; Magnoliopsida; Sapindales; Rutaceae. The record is from RNAcentral.